This 63948-nucleotide long non-coding RNA is filed under the name Coffea arabica (coffee). Its description in RNAcentral is "long non-coding RNA (CARA_LNC001151)". Lineage: Eukaryota; Viridiplantae; Streptophyta; Magnoliopsida; Gentianales; Rubiaceae. The record is from RNAcentral.
UUAGCUUUUUUUUUUUUUUUUUUUUUUUUUUGUCAUGGGAAUAAGCUAAAAUUCAGAAGCAGCAAAGUGAGUCCUUUAGAUUUGAGAACAAACUCUUAAUACAACAUAUAAAUUCUGUCAUUCAAGAAAAAAGGUUUAAAACAGUAAGAGUAGCUAUAUGAUGAUUGACGAACAAGUGGGAGGAAAAGCUUUGGGCCUUAGAAUAUUCUUAUCAUGUUUCACAUUACGAGGAUGCUUUUUCUCCAAAGUCUCUAGUGAUGUCUCCACUUUGAGGAGGAUAAGUUAGGCCCACAGUUGAACAAAAAUUCCUUUUCUUUGUCGACAAAAAUCAAGUUUAAACCAAUGAUGGAAGUGGAGAGACGUACCAGAAUUCCUCUGAGAUUAAUGAUUGUCUUGUUGGCCUUCUUGUUAUGGUAAACAAUAUUAUGUGCUAAUUGAGGCACAUAAUGGCCAGCGUAGCUCUCUCCAGCUAUGUAAAAAUCCCUAUUUUUGUACUCAGGAAACCUCUCAAGCCAAUUUAGUAAGAAAAUGUAAUUGUCUGCAGCAGUUUUUGUAUCCCCACAAUUCUCAAAAUCUGAUGUUGUGUUGGAGUAUGAAAAUCCAACCCCUGCUGGAGAUUCUAGGAACAGAACAUUGGCAACUGUUGGGAGGACAAAUUAAUUGAAAAUUUAUUAAGUACCUAAACAUCAAUAUCUUUUAUUUGAAAGACAAAACGAAGUAAAAUUUCAAGAGAAAAUUCCACACCAUGAUUCCAGGCAUAUUGAUUCUUGUACAGUGUUUUGCCGUCGCUACCAACCCUGAAUGGUCCAAGUUCUUGCAUUGCCCCAUAGCCAAGUGAAGAACAGCCAGGACCUGUUUCGAAAGUGACAAAUUGGGAAAAUUUCAUAUUGAAUUGAAUGCAUUACACAUCAAAGCCUAUGCCGCGUUGAAUUGACGGUUCUACAUAUCCUGCCGAUGACGAGUUAUUUGAGGUGUUUAAUUUUUAUUUAAUUAAAGGGUCCGUUUGGAUGGUGUAUAUUUAAGUGUUUGAAUAAAAUUUUACUGUAAUUUAUUAUAAAAUUUAUAAAAAAUACUUUUGUCAAAAAAUUGAAAAAAAAAUAUUUUGCUUUUACUUUUCCUUUUUCCCCUUUCUUUUCUCUCCUUCUUCCUCCUUGCUACCGUCGCUGCUCUAGCCACCACUGCAGGCCAACACAUCUGCCACCACCUCCUCUCCCCUCCUCUCUCUCCCUCUCCUCCUCCUCCCUCCUCCCUCCUCCUCUUCUUGCUCCAUUCCUCCUCCCUUUCCUUUGUUUGAGUGUUUGAAUGAGUAUGUAAAUUAAUUUAAAGUUUUUAUAAUAUUUAUUAGAAAACAUAAUAUUUUAAAGUAGGCAUCCCUUUUGGGUCAAUAUGUGAUUAUUUCUCUUGAUUUUGAUUGAAUUAGAAUCCUGAACAGGGUGUGAACUCUAAAACGAGUUUAAGAUUAGAUGCACUUUGUCGGUUAGUCCACCUUGUCAUCUCAAAGUGCGCCCUUAUUCAAAUGACACUUUAGACCCUACUACUAAUUUCUGAUCUUGGAAAACUGAAAAACUCAGAAGGAUUUCAUGUAGAUUAUCAAGUGUUCGUGAAUUAACACUAAAAUGACCCUCAUUCCAUCUACUCUACUCAUUAGAAUUGAUGGAAGUGCCAAAAUUUUAUACUUUUUUUGUUUUGUUUUCUUUUUUUUUUUUUGAAGGGGGGCGGGUGGGUGGUGGAACUGGAGUUCAAUGGGAGACUUAAGUCAACAAAUGGAUGAGGAACCAAAACUUUUAAGACCGAAAUAGUUUCAAGGAGUUGUGGGGUACGUUGCUCUUUUGGCUUACUACUUGUGACUGAUUACUUAUAUAUAGAAAGAAGAAAAAGAAAGACUUUUGACAAAUGAUUUUAUCUCUUUUUGGGGUCUUAUUAAACCAAAUCGACAUCCAUGCCUCGUCAUUCUGAGCACAAUAUGAACUAGUAGUGUUACAGAAUGAGUAUAGUUUAUUAAAAUGGAUGAUUACCCUGAAAUAGAUAAUUAAAUUAAUCAAGAAACUUAAAUGAUAUUUAAAUGGAUUUAGUAGAUGUCAUAGUUAAGCAAAUGAAAAAGUUUCUUAAUAUUUUUCAUGCGAUUUCUUAUGUCCAUUGGCGUAUGAAUCAUGGACUCGAGUAGAAAAGACUUACAAGUGUCGUAUAACAAAGAAAAAGCAUACCAUUUACAUAUGGCAUCAUUUGGAUUGAGGGGAAUAGGAAGGAUUUGGUCUUCUUUAAUUUUUUUAGGGGAAAGGUAGAUGUUGGGCUUACUUGUUUAUUUUACAUUUAGUUUGUGGACACUGGUUAAGUGGACUUUAGUUAUUGAUACUUUGAAAAGACAAAGUUAAAUUAUAAAUUUAUGAAAAUAUAAGGAAGGACAAUAAUUGUUAACAUAUGCAUUUAUAUGAUAAGUUGGAUAUGACUUAUAUGAUUUUAAGUGUACAACAAUCGGCACUUGUUAGAAUAACCUAAUGAAUUGAAUUUUUUUUUUUUUUUUUUGUCGAUACGACAGAAUUUUUAUAAUCUAAACUAACCUAUUCUAGGGGGAGAGGGAGGGGACUCGAUGUAAGUAGAAAUUCCAUCGAAACUGGUCAAUGAAAACCGUUACAUAUUGUGACAAAUUUUAUAGGAGACGAGAUUCGAACUCUUGACCUCCCGCACCACCAAUUGAAUUGAAUCACUUUAACUUGCCUAAUUUACAUAUGACUGCGCAUCCAUUAAACCAAAAAACCGAAUAAAUUAAAUUACUUUUACUUGCUCAAUUUACACAUCUCUCCUUACUUUGGACACAUGGACCAAUCCACUUUUAUCUACUCUUUCCUUAUCCUUUCUUUUCCUUCUUUUUCCUUCCCCUUAAUCCAAACACUGCAGAAAACCGCCCGAAAAGAAACUCAAUUUUCCAUUGAUUAGGUGGGAUUACUAGACUUCCUUAAUCAUUAAGAAAGAAGACUCAACUUACUAGAAAAAACAGAACAACCUCACAGCUCAUAGGCAACAUGCAUAAACCGCAUACGAAACAUCAAAAUCAGGUCCUAUACAGCUGUGCUGGCACCAAUAAUUGUCAAUGUAGCGUUCAAAAAACGUAGCAAAAACUGACUGUUAGUCGUUGCAUUUUUGUCAUGUAAUUCUGGACACAACGAAAAUUACCUGAUGUAAAAGGCAAUUUUGUAAACAAGCAAGUUCACAAACUGAAGAGUAGACAGGGAAAAAAAGGGAAAGGAAACUCAAGAAGAUCGAAGUUAGUUUAAAGUACAUAUAAAUACCUCCAUUGAGCCAAAGCAGCAGGGGCAAAUCUUGAGCUUUCUUGGGAUCCUGUGCUUCGGUGAAGUAAUAAUAGAAGGCACUGCCGGCAGUGGCAUUGAUGGUGACAUAUCCACCAUACUGUUUGAAAAUAACGGGGGGUUGUCCGGGCAAUUCCUGAAUGAUAUCCUUCUCUUUCAGCCCAUCUUGCAUAGGCUCAGGUGGAUUCUCAAAUGGUGUGAAGUGGGAUUUGUCAAUGUUAGAAUUAGGCUUCAAUUUGGCCAUGAAAAGUUGAUGGUCAGCUUCCCUGUGGCUCUUCCCAAGGAUCUUGAGAGCCAAAGAUGAAAGCAAGAGAGUUGAGAGAAGAAGAAUUUGGGUUUUCUUGAUCUCCAUCUUUGGAGUAUUCUUGCUUUUUGAACUAUACUACCUUCGAGUCUGAACUUUGCGUAUAUAUAAGAAAUUUAGGAAGGUGUAUAACAACCACUUGGGAUCCUAGGUGACAUAUUUUGAAUGCCAAUCCAAUGCUACCUCUAAUAUUGCGCCAAGUAUCCUGUUAUUAUUUGUAUUUUAAUUUUUUAAUAAUUCAAAUUGAUUUGAUUUAACACAAAUUUUCUCUAUCCUCUAAAACUUUGAACCAAAAUUAACCGGCUGGUCUAAUUCAAUUACCAUCACUUUUGAGUUAACUACUCACGAUCUGGGGAAAAAGAAAAAGAAAACCUAAGCGAUUGAGCCACCAAAGUCUUUCAUCGGUGAUUGCUUUGAACAAAGCCAAAAAGAGACAAAGUCCCUGAAGCUUGUUAAUUUUGGUUCAAAGGUUUAGAGGGUUGAGAAAACUUGUAUUAAAUCAAAUCAAUUUGACACUCCUCGCCCUACUUUCCUUUUUCUUUCCACCAACGCAAAGAAACACACACACACCAUUUUUCGUCAGCGUCCAUAUGAUGAGUAAAAGACUCUCCUUCUUCUCCCGAACAAUUAAAUAAUAAAAAAUUCAAAAUUUUCAAAUACUUUGAAAACCAGUUUCUUCAAAUAAAAAUAUAAAACACAUAACUUUUUUCUUAUUAUACUUCAUGAAUAUUACAACAUAUAAAUAUGUAUCUUAUGCGUUAUAAACAAAAAUUUCACAAAAAUUUCUUUCUUGCUUUGCUUUAAGAAUACAUGUUCUGAAUUCUAUAUAUUUCAUCUAUAAUCGAGUUUUAGGAUUUUAUAAAUGACUUUGUAUAUAUACUUACACACCCGCACAGAUGCAUGCAUGCAUACACACACAUAUGUAUCUUAAGGUAGCGAAAUUUAAUAUACCUAACCUUAAAUAUAAAACCUUAAAUAUUUUAGGUUUUUUGCAGGGAAAAGAUUUUAAAUUUAUAAAAAGUGCUUUUGAACAUUUUUAAUUUUAAAAUAAAAGAAAAUUUAAUUUUUAUCCCCCUUAGUUUUGUCCCUAUAUUUAUUUAUUUAUGGAGCAACAAAGAGGCAGUUGCUUUUGUUUCAGGGGAGAAGGGCAAGAAUGAUAGCACUAAACGAUGUAAUAGUUUUCAAUAGAUUGUAAUUUAUUGUUAAUUACUUGUACAUCUUUGUAACAAAUGUAUUAGAUUCUACAACUGUUCAUGUGUUGCUGUAUGUGUCUAUAUGGAGCAGAUUUGCUUAUACAUAUUUAUAAUAGAUAUGAUAAGAUAUAUCCAAAUAUUGUUCAAGUUGAUCCAUACAUGUUAAUUGAGUUAAAAUAAGCAUUUUCUCGUCCUUAUAUUUUGAAUAUUUGUAUCAUUAGUGAAAUCUUAUCGUUGAAUCUUACGUUGAUAACCUUUUGUGCCACUAGUCCAUAUUUGACUGGUCAAGAUCUUCCGUAAAGAAUUAUGCUAAAUACUCUAUUGGCGAUAGAUUCCUUUAUUUAGAGGGAUAACAUCAGAAACCCCCUUGAGAUUUCUCUUAAUAUUACCUGCUGCACCUAAAAUUUUAAAAGUAUCACUUAUCUCCUUUAUUUUUGUUAUUUGUGUAACAAAAUUUUUUAAAAUCCUAAACUACCCUUUUAUUUGUUAAAUAAAAAUACUCAUCAAUCACCUAACAAAUAAUCUAGAGUAGUUCUAUCACAUCAUAAUGCUAUAGUCCAUAAAAAUAUAAAUUUAAAAAAUAAAAAAGAUAUUUACAAAGAAAUACACUUGCACCAAUUUAAUUCUAUAUGCUCAAAAUCAAUAUUUCAUUAACUUAAUUUAUUUCAAUUUCUUCUCAACCCAUGCCCAGAUCUUUGAAUUGUAUUGAUCAUUAUAAAAAUCAACUUAAAAUAAUCAAAUUAAUCAUACCCCACUCUGUUACAAUCGCAAGAAGUAAAAAAUAAAUAAAUUUCAAUUUCUUAUAAUUUACAAAUAAAAAAUUGCAUAGUUAUCCAAAAAAUGAGUAGGAGAGAAUGCUGGAGAAAAGAAAAAAAAAAGAAAGUGACUUUUGUUUCCUUUGUUUUUAAUUUUUUAUCUCCAUUUAUUUGAAUGUGAAUUAUGUAUCAAGUGAGGGUUAAUAUCGUUCUUUUGCAAUUAUUAGGGGAGAUAAGUAAUAUUUUCAAAACCUCAAGAGGCCGAGUGAUAUUAGGAGAAACUUCAAAGGUUUUUAGUUUCCGAUAUUACCCCUUAUUUAGAUGACAAAUUAUGACUGGGCCCAUCACAUUAUGCAAGGCAAGGUCAACUUGACAUGUGCAUAACUGCAAAAGGCAAAGCACUCGUCACUGUCCAAAAUUUCCGUCUUUCUUGUGCGACCAUAUUAGCCACAGGCGUCAAAGUAAUGAUAAUAAAUAAUGAUAAUAAAUUACAAAAAAAUCAACUUUUUUUAAUCUUGGUUUACUGCAUUUUUCAACAGUUCCAGAGAAAACCAAUCAUAAAUUAUAUAUAUUUUUUGAAUAUUGAUAAGAAUAUUAAAUUACAAUAAACUCCACUAAGUAAGGAUAGGAUCAAAGUAAGCAGAUUACGUUUCAACAUUACUUUCACCACACAAAUGGUGGAAAGUAUAAUCAAAAUAUAGUGGACGAAUGUAACAGGCAAAUCAAUCGCACAUUUAAUACCCAAAAUAAUUGAAUUUAACUUCUUUAUCCUUAAUCUUUGUCCAUCAACUAACCCACUACGUGUCUUUUCUAGCAUCGGGACCAGUACCAAUUUAAUGACCAAAUAAUUCUACGAUUUUGGCUGCAUGUAGCAUUAUACCAAUAGAAGAUUUUUUUUAUUAUUAUUAUUUUUUUUUACCGUUUACCAAUAGAAGAUUCGAAGAUGACCUGUCCAAUAUGGGCAGCCCCUUCUAGGCAAAAGAUUGUUGGCCAAGGGUCACAUGAAAUGUUAGAGGUUGUUAGAUAUUCUUGCUGAUGGUUUGUUUGUUUGUUCGUUCGUUUGAUUGGAAAGGAAAAAGUAUAGUAUGGAGACAAAACUAUUGGUGUCUUGUCUUAAUUUUAAGCUCUUAGCACAUCUAAACAACUUGCACAGUGUAUGUACUACCUUUGGGUACAGUACCCAUUAUUUUAUCGUGGUAUGGUACCCAUUAUUUUAUUUUGUCAAAUCAUUUAGUGAUUUAAAUUUUUGAAAUAAUCUAAAAAUUGAUAAGUUUGAUUUUAUAUCCAAUGGUGAAUUUGGUCUCAUCAAUACAGUAUUUAAAGGGACCGUAGAGCUCUCCUAUAUUAUUAUCGAGGGAUGCAGGAUAAUUAAUUUAAAUUUGAAAUUGAAAUCUAAAAUUUCUAUAUAUGUCAUGCAUUCAAUCAUGAUGGUGCACGUAUUGUUAAUGUAUAUAAAAUUAACUCUAUAUUAUUAUUAAAUGUUAUCUUGUGGACUAUAGAAAUUUAUUUGAAAAGGUGCAAGUAAUGUGUCCAAUUUGGUUUAUUUGAAAAGGUACAAUUUAAAAAAAAAAAAAAAACAGAUGUUGAAUGUAUGGUUUUGAUUUUUGAUACACUACAUGGUUUGGUCAUUUGGACCCACAAAGUAAUUUAAACAAAAAUGUGAUUCAAACUUUGUAAGGUUUCAAGUCUGCCACACCGUCUUCAUUGUUAACAUCUUUCUACGUCCUAUCAGUUUCCUAAUUUACGAACUGUCCUUUAUAUAAUUGGCAAAUUAUCAAAUUACCUAUAUAUCCAUACACAAAUUCCAUUCUCCAUUAACUCUUUGAUGAAAGGAAGGACCGUUGAUGCUCUAUCUUCCCAGUGUCCAAAAACAUCACUGCAAUUUUUUUUUUCAAUUUAGUUAAUAGGAAAAAUAGGAAUACCCUAGUUUUUGUGACAAGAUACAUUAGUCAAAAAAAUCCCAAAAAAUAGAGGGAAGGGGAGCCAAAGACCUGCAUGGUUCCCAAUCAUAGUGUAAUUUGGUUACACUAGCAUGGAUUGCCUCUUGAAUUUUAGGAAGAUUCAAGCAUGAAUAGACAUAAUAUUCACUGCAUGGAUCGAACUCCAUUUUCUGCACAUCAUAAUACCUCAGUGUGAAUAAUUUCAAUGUAAAUGCCUCAAUGUGGCAUUCAUGCUCAGCAUGGCAAAGGCUUCACAAGCUAGUUUAGGGUAAGCUCAAUGCAAAUAAUUUAUUGAUUUUUAACUUUUUCUGUUCUUAUUAUUAAAGAAGGGAUGGUGGGAUGUGCAAAAGAAAAGAAAAUCUUAACAGCUAUGCUAUGUAUAAUUGUCACUGCCUUUUGUUGAUUGAAUUGCUAAUAAAGUAAAAAGAAAAAAAAACAUCAAAUGUAUCAAAACUCGACGAAUGAGAUGACUACAAUUUCGUGUCAAUAGAAAAGGAAAAAAGUUGAGUUUACUCAAUCCCAAUGAUAUGGUUCAUUGAUAAUCAUCUAUCAACUAUUUUGCUCGUGCUCAUAGUUUAUUUUUUAUUUAUUGUGAAUUUAUGCAAAUGUGAAUAAUUUGAAUAAAAAAUUAAUAACGAUCUUACAUGUUCUUUUUCUUUAUCAAUAAAAAUUACUAAUUUUUAAUAAAAAAUUAAACCCUAAACCGUUAUAAAUAUUCCUUUAAAUGUUCAUGGGGCAAUCUCGAUUGAAGCCAGGCAAAGAACUAAAGCCAAUUUAAAACUUCUCACUUACACUCCCUGCUUUCUACCACUAAUCCAUGCCUCCCUUCUCAACAUUCAUACAUGUUCAUUGAUAUUAAUUUUAGAAAAUUGAUGUAUUUUAAAUGUUUAAUUAUCAUAUUAAUUUUUGAAAACAUCUUUACAUACGUUUACUAUAAUAUAAUAGUUGUUAUCAAAUAUUGUAACACAUGUCAAAAAAUCCAUAGAUAUGUUUUAAAGAUAUUUAUUUAGACAACUAAAAUUUUUACAACGACCAUAAACCUAACUUUGUAUUCGUACUUAAUUAAGUAUAGAAGAUUUAGCAAUUUAUUUUCUAGAUCAAUAUAUAUUUAGAUUCUAGCAAUAUUGAUAAAUUUUUCAGUUUAACAGUUAAAUUUUUUUUUUUUCACACAACUAAUCUAUAUGGAGAAAAAAUUAUACAAAGAAAAAAUGAUAUUAUUAGAAAAUAGAUAAACUAUAAGAACAAAUAAUUCAAAUUUACUUUAAAAAAGAGAAAGGAAUAAUUGUAGUUUUGAUCUUUAAUAUUUAGCCUCUGUACCAAAUUGGUCCCCAAUGUUUCAGUCAAAAUAAAUCGAAUCCCCAAAAGUUUGUGAUUUUAGGUAGAUUUAGGACAACUAAUGGAAAUAGAACAAUGACUAAUGAUCAACAUCAAAUUACUACUAGUCAACAACUUUGACUUUGCACUUUUUGGUCCCCCCAUGGUUUUGAUUUUGAAUCAUUAUAGCUUUCUAAUUUUUAAAUAGUGAUAUUAGGGAAUUUAGCAUGAAUUGAGAUGCAAAUAAAAUGAAAUAGUGUUAAAUAAAACAAAUAAUCUUGAUUUACAAAAUUAUUAGAAGAGAGAAAACUAUAAGAAAAACUAAUUAUAGAAGAGUUAGAUACAAAUAUGGGUAAAGUUCAAGUAUCCAAAUAAUCCAUUAAUUUUCUUCAAUUAGGCAUAUAUGCCACAUAGGAGAGAACAUAUGGGUAAUUAGAAUGAUAACUAUCACAUAUAUAAAUAUAUAUUUGGGGAGUGGAAUUCUUGCAACAAAGUUUAAAACAAGUGAAAGACCCUAAUCAGGUCAAUAACUUCGCACUUGGUGACUAAUACCCCUAACUAUUACAAAAGUUAAAUUAUUCUUAUGUUCUGAAACAUAUCCACCAACCUAACGACAAAAAUCAAAAGCAAAAAAAAUUAAUAGAUAUAUGUGAUAAUAAGUCAAGAUUAUUAUUACAAUUCGAGAAAUAAAAGCAACUUCAAAUUAUCUGAGACCAAAAAAGAUGUCUCUCGUGAGUUGCAAAAACAACUUCAAAUAAUCUGACACAAGACACUUAGAAGUAUAGCUUAUUACGCUCCGACGAUAAACUAAUGGGCCCAUAGGAGUUAGCUUGGCAAUGGGCCAAAAUGAGUUGCGAUUGGGCUUGAAUAUCGCGCGGAUGUGUGUUUCUUCCGAACAUAUGGUCAUAUUUCUGGUGAAACCUCCACAAAUUUCCAGUAAAGGAGCCCUUUAAAAAAAGGAUUUAAAGAUGGCCUAGAAAAGAGAAAAUUAUGGCAUAAAACAAUAAGAGAGGACAACAUAAACAGUUAUACUUCACAAAAAAGCUUAAAAUGGUCGCAUAUGUUUAAUAGUUAUCAAAUGACAUAAUUCUGAUUACUCCACUUGUGUCCAUCAAUUAAUUGAUUUGAUAAACAUUCCAAAACCCUCCAAUUUCAUAAAAUGUCAAUCACUAUAUUGUUGUUAGGGGCACAAACGAGUCGAGUUUUAGUUUAAUCGAGCCAAAUUUCGACAUAAUUUUUCGUAGUUCGAACUCAAGAUCGAACUUGACGACCUCAAAAUGUCAAACUAGAGUUCGAGCUUGAUUCAAAUUCGAGUUGAGUUCAAGCUCGAAUUCGAGCUUAAAAAAAAUAAAAAAUACUAAUUAUUUUAUUUUUAAAAAAUGAAUAAAAUAAUAAAAUAUCAGGGAUAUAUAUGUAAUUUUACUAUUAAAAUAAAAACUAAUAUAUAUAUAAAUAUAUAAUCAAUCUCAAGUCGACUUGCGAGCUAACGAGUUUAGUAUUUUUUUGAGUUUGAAUUCGACUUAACCAGCUUGAACUAGACUCAAACUCGAUGUUGAUCGAGUUCAGAUUCGAACUGCUCGCGAUCGAUUCGUGAGCGACUGGAUUUGUUUGCAACUCUAAUUGUUAUACAACGGCAAUCAACAAAUAACCAAAAAAAAAAGAAAAAGAUCAAAGAAAAAGAAAAAUGUAUGCCAAAUUCAAAACUAAUUCUAAAUUUUUUAGCUUAGGCGAAGAUGAUCUUGACAAAAGUUAUCACAAUGAGCCAAUCCAAUGAAAGACGAACUGAGUCCAAAGACAAAAGGGCCGUAACGGCUCCAAGUAGAAGAGAAAGGACACGUAAAUCCAACGAAAACUUGAACGCAUAAGAUAAGCCUUCUAACCAACCAAUCCCUUCAAUGAAAAAUUUAACUAAAGUAUGUUUCUUUAAAGCAAUAAUUUCAGAUUGACCGAUAUUAGCUCAAUUUUUGUACGAGUAGUACUAAAUUACUAAAAUAUGAACAGUCACCUUAUGCACUCUUAAAAGAGUACUGCAAAAUUUCAUAAUCUGAACCUAACAAAUCCCAAAUCCUCUGGCAUUUGUUUCAAAUUAGACAAAAUCUGAUGGCAUCAAUUUUUUUUUUUGAGAUAAUUAAAACUAAACAGUGAUGAAGGAGGGGCGGUUCAAAGGAGGAAGUAUAAGUGAGAAAUUGUGGGUUCGACCCUCCUAUUUACACUAUUAAAAAAAUAAUGAUAAAAAACCAAAAGGCCCUAAUGCAUAAAGAAAGGAAAAAGUAUAAAUUAAAUAAAUUUGAGAACUUGUCUUUUUUCAAUGAGUCAUCAUCUUAGAGAUCAUCAUAGAUGAGGUUUUGUAAACUUUUCUCAUCUUUUUAUUUUCCUAGACCUUGUUUAUGGGAUUAAAAAGGUCAUCAACUAGAAUGAGUAAGAGCCAGAAAUAUCAAUUAUGAAAACAUCUACGAAAACAUUUAAUGCAACACUUAUUAAAACUAUAUGUAUCUAUUUAUCAUUGAUCUUGCACAUUUGUAAAUAUACCAUUUGGUAUAAUUUUGUCGUAGAUCAGGUGUGCUGAUACCCAUGAUUUUUUCAAAUAUAGCAAAUAUAUUUGUGUUGAUAUAUUCAUGAUCUUUUCGUUAUAUAGUAGAUAGAUUUGUGUUGAUCUUCUCAUGGUACACAUUUCAUCAUCUUAGGAAUUUGUGCCAGCAGGCACGUAGUAUAAUUGACGUAUUUAGUCGUAAAAGUCAGGUUUGCAGCAUUUUUAUCCCAUUGAUGGCACAGAAAAACCUGCAUAAGAAAAUAAAAUAUUUGUGAUGUCAAAAAAAUUAAAUAAAAUAUAUUUGGCACAUAAUAUCUUGAAUAAUUUAAUAAUUUUUGUUUGUAAAAUUUAACAAACAAGAACAAAAAAAGGAAAGAAAAGAAUGCCAAAUAUAUACAUUAUGAGUAAGGAUUAUAGAGCAAUAAUGAGAACGACUUGAAAUAUUAGGUAAAUAAUUGAAUAAAUAUUAUUAACUACAGGAUGUAAUUGUACACAUAUCAUUGACUAAAGUUAGACUUGUACAACCUAUAUAUAUGUAACAAACAAACAAAACCGGAAACAUUAAAGAAAAAAAUAGAGGCAACCAAAGUGAUGAGGAAUUAUUGAAGAAAGAUCCAUAUCAUAAGAGCAAGUUAAUUAUGAGAGACAAAAAAGGGAAUAAACUCAGAAUCAAAUUUGUAUACUUACUCAUUAAAGACCAGCACAAUCAUAACGAUUGGUUGAAAUCCAACUACGAUUUCUUCUGAUUCUUUAUACAUAAAAGUUGAACUUGACCUUAGCCCUAAUUCGUAGCGCAACUAAAAUAUCAUAUUAAAGUAACCUAUCAACCUUACAGAAUUUGUGGAUAAGUUGCUAAAACACAAUUAAGGUGAAUGUUAGUUUAACCAUGUAAGUGACAUGAAUGUUAGCUGAGUUGAAAAGUUUAAGAACAGAGAUAAGUUUUAGCAUUUUGUAAGAAGUACUUAUUCACGUAGGAAGUUAUAAAAAUAACUAUGAAGAGUAAUUUGGAAGUUGUUAUCUGAUGUAAAUUUUUGCAUUAUGAGUUUUCUUUUCUAAAAUUUGAGAUGUUUUUGUUAGAAUGUUUACCAUCAAAUUCAAGAAAUAAAAUUUAGGUCAAAAUGUAGAAUAUCCCCUUGUGGAUCAGCAUUUGCACUUUACUCCCCUAUGUUUUGGAAACAUACAAUCUAACACCUUGUGGUUUCAACUAUUAUAAAAAACUCAUAGAACCCAUUAGAAGCAAUGUUUUUGAAAACCGGACUGGACCAGUCGGUUUGAUCAGUCAGACUGCGAACGGGUCAUAGCUCUGGUCCAAUUCAUACUUUGGGUUAAUUAGACUUAGAAACUGGAUUGAACCAUUCAAACCGUAUGAACCGUGUGAACCGAAUUGAACCAUUGAACCAAUAAUUUUUUAUUUGUGUCUAUUAAAUUGAAAAAAAUUACAAAAAAGAAUAGUUUUUCUUUAACCCUAAAGACUAAUUAUUAAAUGCCACAUCCAUUCACUUUCCUGAUUCCUCCAAACUCCAAUUCUCUUUUUUUUUUUUUAAGUUGCAAUCUUUAAAUAUAAAAAAUGUGAAUUAAAAUUCACAAUGUCUAAUUCCCAUAGACAUAAAUUUUGUAUAAUUUUAGAAUAUUGUGGUAUUUUUGGGUUGGAUUUAAGAUUAUUUUUUUGGUAAAUUUAAUUAAGAUUGAGAUGAAAUUUAUUUAUUUUAACUUAUAAUUUAAAAAAUUUAUUUGUGAAAAUCCAAAUUCUUUGAAAAUAUUAAACUUUUCAUCAUAUGAAGUCUUAAAUAGUCCAAUGCUUGUCUUAUUUUGUACAUAUAUAUUUAUAUAAAUUAUUUGAAAAAAAAUUUAUUGAAUCAGGAUCGAACCGGUCCGACUGAUUGAAUCUCGACCUGAACACUUUACCGGUUCAAUUGACGGUCCGAGUUUCAAAACGUUGGUUAGAAGUGACAGGAGCAUCCAAAAUGCCAAAAAUACCCCCUUAAAUAAAGAUCCAACAUUUUGACCAAAAAAAAAUAAAGAUCCAACAAGAUGAAACUCAUUUGCUUCUUCCAAUUUGUGAUGAAGUGAGAGAAUACCCUAAAGAAAGAAGAAGAGAAAGAGAGGGAGCUUGACUAAGGCAUUGUGAAUUGGAGCAGAGGAGGAAGGUCUACUAUUAGAGGUAUUGUGAAUUGGAGCAGAGAAAGAAGAUUGACUAUGAUAGAUCCAAGUAUAGUUGGUAAGUUUUGGGUUUAUAUUGAUUAUGUUCAAAAAUUUAUCUUAUACGAUGCAAUAGUUAUUGUCAGCAAACAAGUCCCAAGGUUAUGGGUUUGUUAUUAUUAGUUUAGGGUUUUCAUAUAUUGGUUACUACGUAAUGCUUGGGGGUUUGGGGGGUUUAGUAGUUAAGUGCUGCGGAGCACUUCAAAAGUUGCCGGCUUUUGAAGUGUCUUCGCAGAGUCCAUUUAUCGAAACACUCAUACAAAAAACUGUGAGUUAUGAAAAGGGUUACUACGUAAUGCUUAGUGGGGUAUAUCAAUACUGUAUUAUAGUGUUUGGUUUGCUUAUGAAUUCAAAUAUGUAAAGACAUAUUCAUAAUAAUUAGUUGUUUGUAGUCCCAAGCUUUAUAGAUCUCUUUUCAAGGUAUAUAUAACAUAAUACAGUUGUAUAUAUAUUAGAAAAUUUGAUGACUAGUCCUAAAAUUGUGUUGACAUAGAACUCAUGUAUUGCAUUUAAAGAUAGAAACUAUAUCAAGAUUAGUCUCUGAAUUGGAUUUUGUGCAGAUCCGUGUAUAUCUAUCAGCCAUACUCAUAAAAAUUAGUUGUUUGUGGUCCCAAGUAUUAUAUAUCUCUUUUCAAGUUGUAUAUAACAUAAUGUAGUUGUCUUAAGACAAUAUACUUGUGGCACUGAAACUAGUUUUUUGUCUUCUUAUAUUAUAUUAAACAGGGGAGCAUAAAAUAAGUGAAUAUGUGGAAGUGCAUAUGUACUAUGGAGGAAGGUUCAAAUUGGAACAAACUAUUGUGUACAUAGGAGACAAGGUGGCAAUAUUUAGGAAGAGGAAUCCAAAAGAGCUUUCCAUUACGCUACUGUGCAAAAUGUAUAUGAAUGGUGGGUUCUGGUAUUGUAGUCCAACUAUUGAUUUGGAUGGUGGGUUUCUUCCAAUUAGAGGAGAAAAUGAUAUAAAACUAAUGAAUACUACACAUGAUAGGCUUCCUACAAGAGUAAUAAACUUUUGAAGAGGCUAAAAAUGAUGAUAAGGACAGAAUGGUCAAAAACAAUAUGGAGGCUAAAAUUGAUGAGGGUCCACAUGAUGGUGAACCUAAGUGGCUGAAAGAGGGGAUUGAGACAGUAGAAAAUGAAGAUAGUUUUGCUGACAAAAAAGGUGAUGAACCUAUUAAAUAAAUUUCAAGUUAUUCAAUGAAAUUUUUUUCCAUAUAACCAAAGGCAAGGUGGAAAAAAAAUCAGGCUGGUCAAGAAGAACCUGGAGUAGGGCAAAAUCUUUCUGUACCAUCAAGUAGUGAGAAGUCUAUGGAUGUUAGAAGAUCUAGGAAUGCACCUGAUGUCAUCAAGCAUGUGGAGCAUUAUGUGAAUAGCUAAACCUCUGCAAAUAAUAAGAGACUAGUCAGUCAUAAAGAAGAAGUUAGACUCAACAGUCAGCAAAAAGAUGAAGUCUUUGAAUCCAUGGUUGAUGAUGAGAAAUUGUGGACUCAUAUGGAUCUAAUUGUGAGGUGCAACAAGAAUAUCUUGACUUUGAUCCACAAGUCGAAUUCAAAAAAACCUCAUUUUGAGCUGAAAGUUGGUCAUAAGUUCAUGAACUUCCAAAUUUUUAGAUUGUAUUGAAAGAAUGGUGGAUUUGGGAGGUGUAUGAGAUAAGUUGGAUAAACAAUGACACAUAAAAUUAUAGCAAAAUAUGCCGAGGGUUGUACAUGGAGGAUUCAUGCAUUACGUAUCCAAGGCACAAAAACUUUUCAAAUAAAAACUUCGAAGGGUGAGCAUAUAUGUGGUAGGAAUACACUAAAAAGUUUGUGACUUCAUCAUAUCUGAGCUGAAGGUAAUGAUACAAGAUUAAAGAUGAUCCCAAAUGUGCUGUUACAGGAUUCUAGAAUGAGAUUAAAAGGGAUUUAAUGGUUGAAGUCUCAUCUGCCAAGAUUUACAGAGUUAAGAGAAAUGCAAAAGAAGAGAUAUAGGGGCUAGAUAUUGAGCAAUAUCAAAAAAUUUGGAACUAUGCAACUCCUGUAAGACAGACAAAUCUAGGAAGCACUAUAAUAUUACAGAUUGAUAAACCAUCAGAUGAUUCAAGAGGUACAUUUGAAAGGCUGUACUACUAUUUUUAUGGAUGCAAACAAGGCUUUCUUGAUGAGUGUAGACUUCUUAUUGGUCUAAAUGGGUGUUUUUUAAAGAGUGCAUUUGGUGGCAAACUUUUAUCAGUAGUAGGAAUGGACAGGAAUGAUAACAUGGUUCCAAUAGCUAUUGCUGUUGUUCAGGUUGAGAUAUAUGAUAGUUGGAAGCGGUUUUUGGGGUUAUUGAUGGGUAACUUAGGAAUGGGCAUAGACAACAUAAGUUGGACUUUCAUUUUAGAUAGGCAAAAAGGUCUAGUACAUGCAGUUAAGGAAGUUUUUCCAGAAUCCGAGCAUAGAUUUUGUCUAAGAUGUGUAUUAGAAUUUCAACCAGAUGCUCAAGGGAAAAGAGCUAAAAGAUCUAUUCUGGGCAUGUGUAAGGGCUGCUAAUUCCAUGGACUUACAAAUAACAAUGGAUGAAAUGACUAAGAUUGACCAAGAAGCUGCUAAAUGGCUGGCCAAAUUUCCACCAAACUUGUGGUCCAAGUCAGGUUUUAGAACUACCAGCAAAUGUGACAUUUUGGUAAAUAAUCUGUUUGAAUCUUUUAACAACUAUACUCUGCCAACAAGAGAGCAAGCUGUGAUAGGCAUGCUGGAGUGUAUUAGGAGAAGGGUGUAUUAGGAGAAGGUUAAUGCAAAGAAUCCAGGUGAAAAGAGUUGGAAUGGAGAAAUUUCAGGGCAAGAUAUGCCCCAACAUCAUGGAGAAAAUUGCAAAAAAUAGGACAUCUACUAGAGUUUGUGUUGCUAUUUUGGGUCGAAAGAAAAGAUAGGAGAUUGAUGCUAGAAUUAGAAAUAUAGUUGUAGUGGACUUGGAAAGCUAGACUUGUACCUGUGGCAUAUUCCAAUUGAGAGGUUAUCCUUGCACUUAUGCUUGUGCUGCAAUACCAACAGCAAGGAGUGUGAGGACCUCAAAAAUUUCAUUAUCCUCUGGAAAAUUAAAUCAAAAUAUUAUUGAAAAUAUUAAAAUUAUCCAAUAAUAUGUAUUUAUAUUUAAAUAGUAUUAUUUUCAAUCAUUCAAAUGUUACAUUUCAAUUUAUUUGAAUUUUUAAGAUUUAAUUGACGGUUCGCGUUCGGCAAAGCCCUAAGUUGAAUUUUCGCGCACCGACGCGCGAAUUAGUCCUAAGUUGAAAUGUAGUAUAUGUAGAGGCUAUAAAAAUGUAUAAUUAAGUUGGAGAAAUGUUAGAUGAGGAAUGUGAGGACUCGCAAUUUAUUUCUUUUAAAUUCCCAUUCUGAGGUUAUUUAAUUAGUUAAUUGUUCAAUUAUUUCGAAUAUUAUUUUCUAGCCCUAUUGGACCCAAUUCUAUAGCAUUAUAGCUCAUGAGUAAUUUUAAGGCAAUUAGUUCGCAAUUCAAGUCUUGAAAGUUGUUAAGUGUGAAUAGUGCCCGUAGGCUCAGGAAUAGUAACUGAUUUGAGAGUUCAUGAGCCCGAAUAAUGGGAGAUUUAUACCCUAGUCUUAAAAUAGGUAUUUUUUAUGCGUAAAUAUCCAUGUAUUAGUUAGAAAUGCCAUCGUUAUAAGAAUUUCUCAAAAAAUUUCACCUUAUCGCGCAUAAGUGGGAAAUACGCGUUUUACGCGUGCGAUUUAUUUGAAGGACUUUAGAACCUUAUUUUGAGGUUAUUAAGAGUGAAUGAUAAUUACAUGAAUAUAUGUGCAUUAGAGGUUUAGUACACAGUUAAAACAAACCUCAGAGGAAACGGGUGCAAAACGCGCGCGCGAUACACUGUUCAUGGUUGACUUGGGAGCACAAAAGUUGUACAACACUCAAGCUUCUCAAGGAAGCUUUCCAUUUCAGAUUUUCCCCUCCCUUUCCCCUCACCAUAACCGCCGGUCUCUACUCUCUCUCACACUCCAAAUUUCACAAUUUUUCCUCCACCAUUUUCUUGCUCCAAUUCACACCAAAUUCACCACACAAGCUCAAGACAACUUGGACAAUCACUUGGACAAAGAAGGAGCUGCACAUCCACGGAUUUUCUUGGGGCUUUUGGGACACCAAAAUCUGACCUUUUAGCACACAAGUAAGAUAACCAUGAUCCACUCUUCAAUUCUUGUUCAAUGAAGGCCAACUCACACUUAAGAGCUUGAUUAUGCUUAUGGGUAGCUUAUUAUUGUUGGAAAUUGUUAAAUGUGGGCUCUAUGAACUCCCACUUUGAGUUGAUGGCUGUGAUGAUGUUUGAUGAUGGUUUUAUUGUUGAAUUAGUGCUUAAGGAAGUAGAUUAAAGGUGCAUUAUUGCUAGAAACUUCAUUGAGCUCUUGAAGCAAAAAAUUCCGAUUCUGCCCCUGCCAAGACCGACCUUUUUCAUGCAAAAUUCUGAGGUUUUAACGGCUUGUAUUUGAUGUUUAUGUGUUGUUGCAGUUGUGUGUAAAGUUUCAUUGAAAGAUAUUGAGGUUUGGUUGACCAAAGGUGAUGAAUUCCAAAAACCAGCAAAAUCUGGAAAUUUUUCCCAUAUGGCUCAGGCAGCCAUUUUGUUUCGAUCAUAACUCUGCCCUCCGACAUCGAAAUUGAGUGCCGUUAGUGCCAUUAGAAACUAGACUCUUCCAGCUUUCCAACGGUGUAAAAUUCACUUCCUGGUUCCACCUGAGUGAACCGUGGCAGUCUUUUAAAGUCACCUAUCCUGCUCCACUGGUUCACUGGAAGCCAGGAUAUGAGCUGCGUUUUGUUGCCAGAUUUCGAGCUAGUUAUGAGUAGAAUUUUAAAACAAUUUCUUCUGAAAAAUUGUAUCCCUAUGAGUGUAGUUUCCAACGCUACCAACGAUGCUCAAAUCUAAGUUGAAUUGAAUGAGAUGUGACCAAAAUACGAAAACUGCUCUGCUGUUGAACCAAACUGUCCAAAUUUUCCCAGUUUGUGUUCGAGUUUUUUAUCUGAUUCUUGACAAGAAAUUGAGCUUCAUGGAUUGUGUAAAUGUUAAGCUGAAUGUCUAUGGUCAUUUGAGGGAAAAUGCACCACUUUCGUAGUUGAAAUGAUGUUGAGGAAUUGAAGGAAAAGGAAGGUAUAUGCUGUCCAAAGAAUUCUGGAAAUUUUCCAGAUUUUAGUCAAAUUUUGGGGGUCAAUUUUGACAAAUUUUUGAACUACUUGGGCUGUAUACAUGUUAACCUAUAUGGGUAGUAUUGUUUGGGUGAAAAUGUAGCUUUUGGGUAGAUGAAAAAUUUUGGAUAAAUUGAAGGGGAAAUGGACUACUUGCUACCGUAUGCACCUGAAAUUUUUCCAGUUUUGAAUGAUAAUUGUGAACUGUUUUCACGAUAACUUGAGCUCAAAUGAUUUGUGUAUUAAUUAAGGGGUUUGUAUAGCUCAAUUCAGGACAAAAAUCUAGUAGAGGUUACGUCCAAAAAGUGGACCAAAAUCUUAUUCUUCAAGAAGAUACCAAAACAGAAUUUUUGUUUGAAAUUAGAAAUGGUUUGAUGUUUGGAUUUCAUUGUGGGUAAAUGUGGACCAAAGUUGUCCCGAAAAUGUUUUCUAGCAUUAACCGUUGUUACUAGGUCCACUUUGAGUUAAUAACCUUGAAUUUUAUUAGACCAAAUGCCCUAUUUUGAGGAAUUUGUCAAAUCUGGAAAUUUUCCUAAAAACUCAAGUUUUUGCUUUCAUGAAAAUCAUUGGACUAAGUUGGUCGUGGAAUUUGGCAAUCUUAAGGAGUUUCUAUUUUAUAGAAAUUCUAACGACUAGUUUUACUUGGUUUAUAUGAUUGCCUCUUAAAGGAAUUUCCCAAGAUAUGUUUGGGAAAAAUUUGAGGGGAAAAUUCCUCUAAAUGGUUUAAAUGUGAUUUUUCUCAACUUGUGACACCAAAUUGGUGUUAAAUGGCUUAUAUGAUUCUAGAACUUGGAUGUUGGAAUAUUUGACGAAUUUAGCAAGUUUUUGGGUUUUAAAGAAACUUCAAAAUUUAAUUUCACUCGAUUUGUGGAUUUCACUUUAAAUCCUUUGAGAAAACGAUUAAUACUAGUUUGGGAUUUUUGAGUGAAAUUAAAUGCUAGUUGACUCGAGUUAAAUUCGCCAACUCAAAAGUGGAAAUUUAUGUGAAUUAUUAUGAUUUUAGGAGUUGGUGAAGAGCACAAUCUCGAUCAAAGUUUGGAAUUCUAGACACUUCACUUGAGGUGAGUGUCUCUUGCAUGAAUCGUGUUUAACUGCUAGUUGAACUACUUGUUAAAAGUACUUGUUAGAGAUAUCAUGAAAUGUUAUAUGCUAUGUGAUUGCGUGAAAUGCCACAAGUACAAGUGUUGCAAUGUCGAUUGGAGCGUGGUCUCGUCGACUAAAUAAACCAAACGGAUGCACGUACCACACUCUAUUAGAGUGAGAGGUACCUCUCUGCCGUCUUGGUAAAAGUGCUUGCAAUAUUCGUGUUGGAGUCGGGCCCGAAAAUAAGGGGGAAGACGUUGCUAGGAGAUGUGUAGAUUAGGGAAAAUAUCUACGUGGAGUUUAGGUAGUGAAAGUUGACGGAAUGUCAACUACUAUAAAUUUUCUGAUCAAGUGCGUGGACUUUGGCUCCUGAGAGCCCCGUAUCCUUUUCUUGUCAUGUUAUUUCGCUUUCUUAAAUUGUUAAGUGCUUACUUGUCUAUUUGUACUUGUUAAAUUGCCUUAUGUGAAUUGCAUGUUUCGAGGCACCACUAAACUAUUGGCUCAUCCCUUCCAAAUUGUUUUCCUUGACAGGUUCUGAAAUGCAUGAAGUCUUGGAGAACUAGAACAGAAAUGUUAUAUUUUGAAUACCCACUUUUGUAAUUGUAUUUUUGGAAACGUUAGUAUCUUUUGGAUGAUUUUUGUGUUUUUGGGAAAAUGUGAAUCCUGUGAUGCUUCUGUGCUCUGGAUUAGGAACUUUAAAUUGUAAAUUAAGUUGAAUUUAAGUAUACUAAGCUCGACGUUUUCGUUGGUACUUGGAAUUGUGUUUUGGGCUGUAUAAGUUGAAUUGUAUGAAUUAUUUAAGUACGUGACUUGCUCGAGAAGUAAGGUUUAUUUUCGAUUUAUAUUUGGUGAAAUUAGUUACUAGAGUGCGUGAGUCCUAGCGAGAGCUAGACAGGCGACCCGCCAACCCUUUGGUUCGCCUUAGGGAGAAGUGGGGCCGCCACAAGGAGACUAGUGGAAGACUUUAUUCAUAGUUGCUACAAGAGAGAUGCAUAUCUAAAUGUAUAUGUGUAUAUGAUUGAACUUGUUCCAAGUGAUACAUGCUGGGUAAAAUGCAAAGAACUUGGUCCUAGUCCACCUGCAAUUAGAAAGAUGCCUGGUAGACCAAAAAAGGUUCGUAACAGAGCUCUUGAUGAACCAAAAUAAAGGUCAAGUAUCAACCAGAAAGGGAGGGUCACAAUUCAUUGUAAGAGGUGCUUUAGAGCAGGUCAUAAUUCAAGAAGCUGCAAAAAUUCGAUUCACCCAAAUUCCAAGUUUUAUACGGUAAACAAAAUGUAGAAUUCUGCAUUAUUUAUGGUAAUUUCAGCCAUUAUUUAAACUUCAACUUUUUCCCGUGAUAGGUACCUGAAAGACUUACUGAUCAAGAAAUAAUAUCAAAUUCACUAUCACUUGAAAGACAACCUAACCAAGAAGCAGCUUCAAAUGUACCUGAUAAUGGCUAAUUUAUGAUAUUUUUGAAUGUGUUUCAUAGUGUUUUUGAGUCAAUUUAUAAGGUUAAAUGAUAUAAGUUGUCCAUCUUUUGUCAGUAAUUUGCACCUUGAGUUGAUAAAUGAAUUAGCUGUAAUUUCGUCAUUUUACUUGCAAAAUCUCAUUGUUUUUGUAGGUAAAAUGAUCAAACUCAAUUGUAAGUGAAAUGAGUGAAGAUUAGAACCUUAAGAAGUCACAACAAUGGCUAAAAAAUGUGGCACAAGUCAAGGACGAAAAGCAAAAAGGGAUUCUCUAUGGAUUUUGCCAAGAAUUAUGGGCAGAAUCUUGUUUCGCAGAGAAUCACUUGCUCUACACAAUCCCUGGGAGAAUCCCUUGAGAGAUUGGUCCGAGGAAUUCGUGGCAGUUGCAAGUUGCCAUCUUGCAUGAUUUUUAUUUUAUUUUUUCAUUUUUGACAAGACAAAAAGGGACAACUUGUACCAAUGUUUUGGGGUUCUAGGAGUUUUUUUUUUUUUUUGACAUUUUGGCUUCAAUAAUACAAGACCAAAAAUAUAUACCACCUAGUUCUUCUAGUUUUGGGAGUUGCUAGUUCUAGUUAGUUUGAGAGAAGAGAGAGACUUUGGAAGACAAGACACAAGCUCUUAAGAAAUGUAACUCUCUUUAUUGUCUCUUGUUUUAGUGUAGGUUAGUAUAGUAUAAUCUAAUUGUGGUUAUCCAUUUUUGUAUUAGCUCAACAAGGAGGUCAAGGGAGAUGAAUAAGGAGAGACUCAAAAAACUCUAGUAACAAGGGUUUUUUUCUUUUCACAUCUUUAUUUUUGUAUUGAACUCUAAAUUUGUUAAUGUAAAAUUUGGAUAUUGUGUUUGUGAUGUUGAUUUAAAGUAUAUGCCUUGAAUAUUUGAUUGAAUUUUCUAUGAUUGUUUACUGUUGAUUUCUUGCCUAAUUGAUGUUAUUAUCUUGUUUGAGUUAUUUAGCACUUUUGCUCUUGUAAUCAUGAUCAACUGGUCAUUAAUUAUUAUGAUUUCAAGGUGUUAGAUUUCCAAUAAGAAUUGAAAUUUGAUACUAGUUCAUAGAAGUGUUAAACUUAGGGAGUACACUCACAAAAAUAAAGGUAUACCUUUAUGGUUUUUUUGAUUUUGUUCCAUGUAAUUUCAUAGAAGUUAAUGAACUUGUAGUUGAUUUCAUAACCACGAAAGUAGUUAUGAAUUAACCAUAGGUAUAACUGGUACAUUGGCGAAAGCGGGUAUUACGAAUAUUAGGAAAUUACGUCAUAAUUUAGUCGAGAUUUUGGUACUUAUUUGGUUGGGGAGUUGCCUAACAUAAAUAGGUAGGGAUUCUAUUACCUAAGAAGUUUUUAUUUGUAUUUGUCUAUCCAUUUAUAGUGUAGUUUAUUUGUUUUAAUUUGAUGACAAUCUGAAUAAUAGAGAAAUUUUAGUAGUGCCGGUAGUUGUCCAUUUUCUUUAUGGGUUUGAUUGUUAAUACCCUAUACUCGCUUACAACGCGUAUACUUGCGAAAAAUCGCGUGUGGGGUAUUUAAGAAUUUAUAAAUAUAAAAUUUGAUUAUAAAUUGAACUUAAUUAUUAUAUACAUACUUCGCGCUCGUCAAGUUUUUAGCGCCAUUGUCGAGAAAGACUCGUGGCAAUAUCUGCGUGAAGAGCAACUUUAUUAAUUUAGACAUUUUAGUUAUAUUUAUUGCAUGUAUUGUGUUUGAUAUUUUGUCUAAAUGUAGUCUUUUAUGAGUUUGUUGAGUCUAGUUGCAUUUGUGUGUUGAGUCUUGUAAGUCUCUUAUGUUAUUGUCUUUUAUCUUUGUGUUUAGUUUGUAUAUAUGUAUCAUUAUCUAUUCUUCUUGAUUAAUCUUGAUCUUAAGUUGUUUAAAAGCAUUUUUAGGACAUGAGAAUGAUGGAUCAAAUGGGCAGACAAUAUUUGAGAGAUAGAAGUUGGAACUAUAAUUCACAGUUUUCUCAAUGUGCAAUGUAUAGUGGUGGUAAUCAAGAAAAAGCCAUAGAUAUGCCUUUUAAUGAUGGUUUGAAGAGUUUAAAUGCUUAAUUUGACUAUAUUAUGUUAUGUACUAAAUUGGACAAUUUAAUGCAUUUGAUUGAGCAAUAUAGGAGUGUUGAUGCUUUGAAUUCCAAUUAUGUAGUUUAUGACUUGUGUGGAGGCUGUCAUGCUAAUUAUCAAUGUGUACAAGCACAACGUGUGGAUCAAUGUGAUGAAUUUUGAGCAUUACAAUUUUUAUUUUGAUCAAUAUGACCCUAAUUGUGGUAAUUCUUCUGACUAUGGUUGUGAUAAUCAAGAUGUUUAUAAUGAUUCUCUAUAUUUUUAUGAUUACUAAACCCAAUAUAUCCAAUAUAUCUAAAUCAUCUUGGAAAUUAGCUAUUGAAAGGUUAGCUAAUACACUUCUAUUUUAGGAGUUAACCAUAGAAGAAAAACAGAAUGAAUAGGAGCUUGCUAUAGAAAAAUUUACUAAUGAAGUAAAUUUAGAUAUAUAGAAAGGCUAACUAAUGCAAUUUCGAAUUGUUUUGAUAGGAUCGAAGGAAGAAUAGAGGAAUUAUCUUCACAUUUUGAAAGAAUACAUGACCAAUUACAUGAGUUGUAUGAAAUUAUUUCAAAUAGUAAUAUGUGAAUUAACCCUAUUAUGAAUGUUGGGAAUGUUGUAUGUAAAAGUGAAUUGUAUUUUGAUGAAAAUGAUGAAUCUAUUUUGUAUUUUAAUGAGGAGAUGUCCAUUUCACAUGAUCAUAUCUUUGGAACUAAUUUUGAACUUUAAGAGACAAAUAUUAAGGAUUCAUAUUUAACCCCGCUUGAGGAGAGUGUUGAAAGUGUAGGUUCUAAAAAUAUUAUUGCCCAAGAAAGCCAUGCAGAGGAUCCUUUAGUCAGCUAUCAAAUGUUGCAAAUGUAAGGUAAUAUCUAUCAAGCACUUGUGAUUGGUAAGCCAACUCUGGCUCUCAAAUCAUAUGGAUAUAAGGCUCAUGAGAUGGAAUCACCCAUUGUAGACCCACCACGACCUAAAUUGGUGGACUAUUUUUUGAUAAAACCUUCUUGAUGAGGGAAUAAAGUCGAGCUGAAUGACUUUAAUCAAAGCUCCUGUUGAGAAGCAACCCAAUGAUUUAGUUAUUUUUUUUCUAGUGUUUAGCUUGUUUCUCAUGUUUUUUAAGUUUAAUAUAUGCCUUUAUGUAUUUUGUAGGUUGCAAAAUCAACAAGAUCUUGAAAAUGGUCAAAAUUACACUUUUGGACAAGGUAUAAAGGGAGUUUCAUAUUUAAACUAUACAUUUUAGGAAUUACAUGCAUUUUGAGCAUUUGAUAUUAAUUCUAGUCUAUAAUGCAUGUAUAUGUGUGUUUUGAAUGCAAAUGUAGUGAAUGAGGCGAGUUUGCAAUUUUAAAGGUUAAAUUUAAGGUGUUAGUGUUUGAGGAAGUUGGUUCAAAGUAAUUUUAUUAAGUGAAGAAAAUGGAAUUGAAGAUUUUGGUCACAAUCCCUUGGAGAAACCCAUGGGAUUCAUUUGAAUAGCAUGCUUUAAAGAAGUAAAAGCAGGCUUUUUCCUUCAUUUUCUUCUUCAUCUUAGGCACACAACUAUAUACUCACACACCCACUUUAUCAAAUCUCCAUUUUGCACCAUUUAAAUCCCUCAAAAUCACCACAAAGUCACUCCAAAACAUCUUGUGAGCAACAUUCAAACAUCAAACAUCAUCAAAAACACCUACUUUUGAAGAUUUGAGUCAAGAAUCUUAGGGUUCUAGAUUUUCAUUUCUUUCAAUUUGGAGUUCAUUUGAGCCAACUUUUGGAGGUUAUUACAUCAUUUGCUUUGCAUUUCGUUACUCUACAAGUUUCAAAUAAGUUUCUUGACUUUAUUUGACCCAUUUAAAUUUCAGCAUAGUUGAAUUUUCUUGAAUUUUUGGAUGAAUUUAUUGGAGUAUUUUUUAUGAAUUUUGUUGUUGUUUUGAUGUCUAUUGAGCUCAUUUAACUUCCAUAAGCAUGUUAAUUUAUCUAUUUUGGUUGAAAUUGAUGCAAUGUGAGGAAUUAAGAAAAAUGUCACUCCUUAAAUUCUUUGAUAAAUAGGCAAUUUUCAUGAGGUAUUUAUUUAGAUUCAUUAUACUUAUUGUUGGUCUUAUAUAGCAUUUUUUAGGAUGUAUAAGUGCUUAUUUUCAAUAAAUGAAACCAAUUGUGAAUUGUGAAUUUGACGUAUAAUGGUAAAUGUAAAUUCUAGAAUAAUUCCAGAACUCAUAAGUUUGUCUUAAUUAUGAUGUUUUGAGGACAUAAUGCAUAUUAUUAGAGUUUUUUAUGCUAUUUGGUGAUAAUUUUUUUUGGGAAUAUGCUUCUCAUAAUUUUUGAAAUUUUCUUGGCAAUGUUGAAUUGGUACUUUAAUAGUUUAUAUUCUCCAACUAAGGUUGCUAUAAAAUCAAUGUUGAUAUUAUCCGAAGGGGAAAAGAAGCAACACGAACAACAAGAGAAGAAGACACAAGUGGAAAAGCACCUUAGGAACUAACCUCCAAUUUCAACACAACCUUAGCAUAAAGAUGAAACAAUUCAUAGGGGAGAAGUGCACCAUGUCCUUUCUUAAUUUUGAUCUUUUGAUAUUGCAUUUAUCAUGAAACUUGAUAUUGCUUCUAGUGUGUUUUUCAUAUUUUUUUAAAUUGCUUUACUUGAACUAAUACUACUCACUUUAGUUGAACUUCGCUCUUCUUGGUAUGGCUACUGGAACGAUAGGGCAAAUUUCAUAUCAUGGUCUUGAACUUCAUUUGCUUAAAUAGGGGAGUAUUGUUUUUGCUUUUAUCGUUUUCCUAACUUUCACAUUGAGGACAAUGUGAAUUUUAAGUAUAGGGGAGGGAAAUGGGUUUAGGGGAAUAUGUUUAAUUUUUCUGUGACUAUGCAAUGACGAUUGUUGACUGAAAUUGUAUUGAAAAUGUUGGAAUGUAUUUUGAAAAUUUUGUCUUGUGAAAAAAAAUUUUCAAAUUUGAAUUUGUUGGCAGGGAGUUUUCCGAGUUAUAAGGGAAACUUUAUCAAAAAUUUUUCAAAAUCUUUUUCGAAAUUCCACUAUGGCUCGAAAAGUUUGAGAAAAGUCAACAAAAUAUAACUUUCAAGAAGUUAACUCUCGUACUUGUUGGAUUUUGAAAUCUGCUUUUGAACAUUUCAUUUCCUAUGUGACUUGGAAUUAGUUAUUACGUGAUUAAAAUUUUUACAUUUUAGAAAGUAUAUUGGGUAAAGUAGAGAGAGUUAUGCUUAUAUUUGCAUGUUAAUGAGAUUUCUUCAUUUUAUUUAAAUCUACAACUAAGUAAUUGAUACAGUCAAUUAAAUGAUACUCUUCCUACUCUAUAUAAAUUGCUUUAAGAGGGAUUUUAUAUUCUCAAAAAAAAGAGAAAAAAAGAGAAAAAGAAGAAAAAAAGCAUAAAAUAAGAGUUUUACUUCAAUGAUUCUUGUACUAAGUAACCAGAAGUUUUCAUCUAAGAAAGGUACUUGAAUUAGGAGUAGUUAAGUUACUUGAGUGUGCGAGUGUUGAGUAGCCGUGGAUUUUCAUCUAAGAAUGUCAAUUUUCGUGUCAAAAGACACUUUCAUAACUUAAGUAUUUGUUGAUAAUUUGUAUGAAUAAUUCCCUCUUUAAACUUAAGUUUUGAGGAAAAGAUGGUGGUAGGAGAGUGCUAACUAUCUUUUGAUUGUAUGAGUUGCUUAUUUGUAGAGUUAACUUAGGGUAAGAGAUUGAAUUGAACAUGACUAAAUUCAAGUAUAAUAGUCGCUCCUUUACUAGAUAUUAUGAGUAUUUAGUGGAAUUUGAAUAAUUGCAUAAUAGUUGAUUUCUGAGUUAUGGGAUUUGCAUUUGAAAAAAUAUAUUAUUUGACUAGGCACUUGGAUCAUUGGUUGUGUAAUUGUUGAUAUUGUUUGAGAACAAAUAAUGAUUCAAGUAUGGGGGAGUUAAUAAUGGCUAAAUUUGUGAUAUUUUUAAAAGUGUUUAUGGUAUUUUUCAGUCAAUUGGUAAGGUUAAAUGAUAUAAGUUGUCCAUUUUUAUCACUAAUUUGCACCUUGAGUUGAUAAAUGAAUUAGUUGUGAUUUUGUCAUUUUACUUGCAAAAUCUCUUUGUUUUUGUAGAUAAAAUGAUCAAGUUCAAUUGGAAGCGAAAUGAACACGAAUUAGAAGAUUGAGAAGUCAUAAUAAUGGCUAAAAGAAAUGGUGCAAGUCAAGGAUGAAAAGCAAAAAAAAAAAAAAAAAAAAAAAAAAAAAAAAAAAAAAAAACAGAAUCCCUCGAUGGAUUCUCUAUGGAUUUUGCUAGGAAUUAUGGGCAGAAUCUCAUUUCGCAGAGAAUCACUUGCUCUGCAUAAUCCCUGGGAGAAUCCCUUGAGGGAUUCAUGGCAGUUGCAAGUAGCCAACUUGCAUGAUUUUUAUUUUUUUUUUCAUUUUUGUCAAGACAAAAAGGGACAAUUUGUACCAACUUUUUGGGAUUCUAGGAAUUUCUCCGUUUGGCAUUUUGGCUUCAAUAAUACAAUACCAAAAAUAUAUACCACCUAGUUCUUCUAGUUUUGGGAGUUGCUAGCUCUAGUUAGCUUGAAUGAAGAGAGAGAGGGUUUGGAAGACAAGAAGAACAACCAAGGGGUUGUAUCUUGCCCUUUGAGGCAAGACACAAGCCCUUGACAAAUGUAAUUCUCUUUAUUCUCUUGUUUUAGUGUAGGUUAGUAUAGUAUAAUCUAGAUGUGGUUAUCCAUUUUUGUAUUGGUUCAACAAGGAGGCCAAAAGAGAUGAAGAAGUAGAGGUUCAACAAACUCUAGUGACAAGGGUUUUCUUCUCUCCACAUCUUUAUCUUUGUAUUGAACUCUAAGUUUGUUAAUGCAAGAUUUGGAUAUUGUGUUUGUCAUGUUGAUUCAAAGUAUAUGUCUUGGGUAUUUGGUUGAACAUUUUAUGAUUUUUUGAUGUUGAUUUCUUACCUAAUUGAUGCUAUUAUCUUGUUUGAGUUAUUUAGCACUUUUGCUUUUAUAAUCAUGAUUAACUAAACAUUGAUUAUGAUCAUCACAAGGUGUUAGAUUUGUAAUGGGAAUUGAAUUUUGAUUUUAGUUCAUAGAAAUGUUAAACCUAGGGAGUAUACUCACAAAAGUAGAGGUAUAACUUUGUGGAUUUUGUAGUUUUGUUCCAUGUAAUUCCAUCGAAAUUACUGAACUUGUAGCUGAUUUCAAAACCACGAAAGUAGGUAUAAAUUAACUUUAGAUAUAUUUGGUACACCGACGAAAGUAGGUAUCACGAAUUUUAGGAAAUUAAAUCAUAAUUUAGCCGAGAUUUUGGUACUCAUUUGGUUAGGGAGUUGCACUAGCAUGAAUAGGUAGGGAUUCCAUUCCCAAAGAGCUUUUAUUUGUAUUUGUCUAGCCAUUUAUAACUUAGUUUAUUUGUUUUAGUUUAUAGAUAGUUUAAAUAAUAAACUUUAGUAGUGCCAGUAGUUAUCCAUCUUCCUUAUGAGUUUGACCCUUAACACCCUAUACUAGCUUACGACACAUAUAUUUGUGAAAAAUCGCGUGUGAGGUAUUUAGAAAUUUAUAAAUGUAAAAUUUGACUAUGAAUUUAGGUUAAUUAGUAUAUACAUAUCUCGCGCUCGUCAAGUUUUUGGCGCCGUUGUUGGGGAAGAUUUGUGGCAAUAUCGGAAUAAAGAGCAACUUUAUUAAUUUAGAUAUUUUAGUUAUAUUUAUUGCAUGUAUUGUGUGUGAUGUUUUGUCUAAGUGUAGUCUUUUGCGAGUUUAUUGAAUCUAGUUGUGAAUACAUUUGAAUGUUACGAAACUAAAAAUGUUGCCAUAAUUACUAUAAUCUUUAAACACUAUGAUACACUAAUACUAUUACUAACUCCUAUUUUUUGUGUAUUAGGCAUUAAACUAUUAAAACUUUAGCAUGUUAAGAUGUUUACAUGUAUGAAUUUAUAGAAACUAUGAUAUAGGUAGGUGUUAUUUUCUAUAUAACUGCACAAACAUGUCAUUGUUGUCACACAAUUUUUUGAAUUUUUUAAAAAAUUGAAGUAUAAUUAAGGAAGUAUAAUAAGUAAAAGUUCAUUAAGUGUUUCAUAAGGUUAUGUUAAAAGUACAAGUAUUUUUUAGAAUGUUUUUGAUAUGUACAAAAUUUUUUUUAAAGUUAUAUAUACAAACGUAUAUUAUAUGAAUAUAAUACGAAUACUUAUUAACUCGACCAUCAUCUAACUUAUUAAUGUGCAUUGAGAAACAAUUUGUAUUUGCCAAUCUAUCUAUUGCAAAACUUACAAUUUAUAAUAUCAUUAAACUUGAACCGUAUUUAUUUUCAUCUCACCAUACCCUCUUCAUUGUAAACCAUUUUGUUAUGAAUUAAUUUUUCUUACACUGACAGUUUAUACGUUGUCAAUUCUGAAUGAAUGACAAUUAUGUAAAAUUGAAUUUGAACCUCAAUUUGUGCACAUAUAUCAUGGAUCUAAUGAUGAUAGUAUAUACACUAUCAGUGUAUAUAAGAUUUAUAUUUUUUUCAUUUUUGUCUUUCUUGUUUUCUUUUGUUUUUUUUUUUUUUGGUUCAGGUUGGGGGAAGAAAGCCUUACAAUAAUUAUAAGGCUUUUGUAGAGACAAUUUCUAGAAUAAAAAGGCCAAAUUUUGGGAGACUUCGGAAUUUUUUUUUAAAAAAAUUUUUUCCAGGAAGGUUAGGUCGAACUUUUGAAGUAAGGAGAUGGCAAGGGGAUUUGAACUUUGGAUCUCUAAUUUCUGGCCUAUCAAUUUUAGCUAUUAGACCAAGGCUCCUUGAUCGCUAAUUACUAAAAACUAAUUCCAUUUUUAGACUUGAAUUAUAAAUGAGCCUUUUUGAAACUGUAAUCUCCAACUCUAUAGUAAAUUGGGAUUGAUGUUCUAUUACUGAUUUACUGCAAUAAUAUUAACUAAUUACUUCAUGUAAUCUAGUUGAGAAAAGAUUUUGCUGAUGGUGGUGGCUAAUCUUGACAAUAGACCUUUUUUUUUAAAAAAAAUUAUGGAAAUGUUAGAGAAAUUUAGAAUAGGGAACUACAUUUAUAGGCUUUACAAUACAAUGACCUAUACAACUAACUUAAACAAUACAAUAGAUUGUGAAAAUAGAUUUAUACAAACUAAUAUUUAUCUAGUUGAUCCUAAAUGGUUAUGCACAAUCGUGUACAUUAAAAAGAAAAGGAUGCAAAUUUUAUUAAUAAAAUACUAAAUCCGCUUCAAGAGUAGAAAUAACAAAGGUAGGUCGACAAUAAUUUCAAACACAAGAAUAAGAAAAUAAUGAUGCAAACUUAGCUAAACGAAGAGCAACCAUAUUAUUAUUUCUUUUUUUUUAUAUAAAAAAUUUAAUAUUAUUAAUAAAUUAGUUAAAAAUCGUCGAUAAUGAUUUGCUUGACAAAACAAUCUGCACUAAUGGCAGAAAAUACAUAGAAUAUGUCAUAGAUAUAUCUGAUCUAAAAAAUCAUUAGAUUUAGCAAAGUUACAAAAUAUAAAAAUUGUAUUAUGAAUCACAAACUAUCAAAUUUGACCAAUUGCAUGAGCUGCUCCAUAAAUAUCUAUGCAUGUCUAUUCUCUUAGUCCUAUUAUCCAACUAGUUUGAACUCGAAACUAAUGUUGAGAUCUGACAAGAAAACUCAAGAAAUUCCAGAUCUAAUAUACAAAUCUAGAAAAACUCUUAGAUAUAAGGAAAAGAUAACAAAACUAAACAAAACUCCCACUAAGAUAACUUAGGAGAGAAGAAAAUUCUCACUAAUAAAACAUUAGGAGAGAGAAAACUCUCACUAGAAUACCAUAUAAGAGAUUUUAUCAAACAAAAAAUAAAAAUAGAGGAAGAGAAAAAUAGACCUUGACUUGAGGUUAAGAUCUCUCUCAUAUGGAGAAAGAAUGGAACAGAGAAUGUUGAGAGUAGAGAGAAUGGAGAGAUAGAAAGAAGACAGUGUGAGAAUGACAUUACUGUAGGGUUUGUUAGGAUAGGAGUUUAUUUGGAUAAUUUAUUUGAGAUAAUUACUGUAGUACUUUUUGUGAUAUGAUGUAUGUGAGAUAAAAAGAUGAUUGAGAAGAUAAAAAAGUAAUUGGAAUUUGUGAAGUAAAUUAUUUUAUUUCAAAACUAUGCAAUCCAAACACACUCUGGCAUCUCCAAUCAAAAUACCAAAGUGUGUAUAUCUAUAGUUCAAAACUUGAAAUCAUCUUGAUGGUGUUUUGCCAAUCUUCCUCAAGGAUUAUCUCAGGUAGGUUAAUCUAAGAUUCACUUAUAAAAAGUGAUUCACAACCACGAAAUGCCUUAACUGAUAGAUACAAAUAUGAAAAUUUUUUAAAUUAAGGAAGUGUACUAUCUUUCACUUUGUAUCUAUUAUGUAGAGUCAUGUGUCUUAUAUAUAGAGUAGCAUUUUUCUAUUACAAAUUACAGUGGCUAAUCCUAAAGAUAGACUUGGAAAGUUAAUUUUAGCUGAUCCUAAUUAUCUCCAAUGUAGGCUUGGAUUUUGAUUACUUAAUUAGGGUUAGUUUUAUUUUGCAUCCUUUAACUAUACUCAUAUCCCACUUUGAUUCUUAACUUCAAAUGAGAACAUUUUACUCCCUAAAGAUAGAAUCUCUUUCACUUUAGUCCCCAUAAUAUAAAAUUUGUUCUAGUCCUUAAAAUAUAAAAUUUAUCAUACAUUAGUUUCUAAAGCAUACUCCCUUCAUCCUAUUGUUAAUGUCAUGUUUUCAUUUUAUUGAUGUUCCAAAAUAAGAGUCACUAUUUCAAAUUUAACACAUAUUUUCCAAUCUUAUCCUUUGAAAAUACAACUUUUUAAAAAUCUCAAUGCACAUUUAACAAAGAAAUAUUUUGAAUCCAAAAGUUACAUAUGUAAAUUCACCAAUGCCAUCUCAAUUAGACAUAAUGAAUACUUUGUUUCUAUAAAAUAUUGGAUUCCCAAAAGCCGACUCUAAUAUUGGGAUGGAGGAAGUAACAUUCUCCUACUUAGGUAGAAAAUUUAUCACACUUCUAUCAACCAUUCUAUUAAAGUGGAAUUAAUUUUAUAUUUUACGGAUUUGAAGUUUCUAAACUAAGUAGAAGUUCGUGUAUCAUUGAAGGGUGCAAACUAGAAUUAACUUCUACUUAAUGAUGCCAUUCAAAUCUUUGAUUUGGGAGGGGACCUCAAUAAGUCACACUAAUCAAAUUCUACUUAGCUACUUCUAUAUGAGUGGUGGGUCCCAUUUAUGGAAGUUGAUUGGACCUUAAUUGGGGUGAAUAAAAAGUAAAGCAUCAUAUAAUUUUAAGGACGCAUCUAUAGUCUAGUAUCAAAACUAUGCAAGCGGUGUGGGAAUUAAUAAACUAUAGAAGAAGAAAUUAGAGUAAAACUUGUCAACUAAUAUAUCAAAAACUCAGCAAUAGGCCAUUGGAUGAAAGGUAAAGAAGAGUACUUGUUGUGCAAUAUAAUAUGAUGCACCUUGAGGACAUCGAAAGCACUUGGGAUGCAAUUGAGGGAUUCUUCUUGACACAUUCUAGAAACUUUAGUAGACGGAAAAAUAUCAGAUGAACAAAGUAAAACAGAACAAACUUUAGCUGACAAUUGAAGAAGAGCUAGGAACUUAAGAAGCAUUAAACAUGGAGUAUACAAGAAUGUUAGUAAAGAAUCCUACUUUCUUACUAAUAGUAAAGAAUAUGCUUUCUUACUAAUUGUUGAAGAAAGGUUUUAUGUCUUCAAAUCUAAUAAUAACUUACAUCUUAUACAAAGUUAUUUGCAAAUGAUCCAAAAAUGAAAUAGGAGUAAGUGAUGGUAAGCUAUGACUGGUAGAGUUUGAAGAAACACAAAUGCACAAAAACUAUCGGAAGACUAGUAGAUGAAGAAAAUAAAGGCUAUGUUGCUAGGUGUAAAUCACAAAAGGAUGCUGAGCAGGUUGAAGUUACCUUAAAAGAGCAUAACAGCAGACAUGAAUCAUGCUCGCUAGAUUCUUUGGUUUUGGAUAGAAAUAUAGAGUGACUAGACUUUAUAGAGAAACGAAUUAGUCAGAUAGAUAACAACUAUAAGAAUCCUAUAGCUGAUGUUCCCAUCGAAGAACCUAACCACAAGUGCAAAUGGGCGAACAUCAUUCGUAGUGGUGGUAUAACUAAGAAGAAGGUAAUCUCUCCUCAAACACUACCUCUGCGAACAAAGGAAGCAAAGAAUCUGAAAUUGAAAAAGAUCAGUAGAACCCGUGUAUCACAACAAUAGGGGAAUGUGUAUGCUCUUCAUCUAACGAAAAAUAGUGCCAUUGCUGUCGAAAAGAGGACUCCAAACAGGAUACAAAAAAGGCAAGAUUUACAGCAGCAAUGUAAAACUAGGAGGUGUUUGGGCUUGGUCAGUACAAAGAAUGAUGUAUGCUCGAACAUGAUAUCUAUACAAAUGACUAGUAGUAGUAGCAGUCUUAAGAUAUUAGAAUCGGAAUUGAAUAUCAUAUCCAAACCAACACUAAAAAGAGAUGACCAAAACAUCGACUUGAGAUACUAUAUGGCAAGAUUUGGUAGCUAUAUAAUUGUCGGUUGUUAUCUGGUUAUUUAUGAAUAACAUUUAAUUGGUUGCAAUUUGUGUAAACAGGAUAACAAAGAAAUUGAUCCUUGUAAGCUCCUCAUUCGGGUGAAGAACUAAAUUCUUGAUUAUCUACUAGAUGCUAAACUGCCUCCAAGGUAUAAUGUCAUACUUGUUUUGAAUUUCAACCAUUGAUGGUAAUGGUUAAUAAUAGAACGAAACUAACAUUUUUUGGAUUAUUGAGUAAUAUCUAUAGUACUUUGCUAAUAUCAACUCUAGGACAAAAUGCUAAUAGGAAGGAGUUUAGGUCUCUAGCCCCUUGUGAAUAGUUUCAAUGUGAAGUAAUUAUCUUCUUGUUUUCAUAUAGUUGUAUUCAUUGUUUUUGUUGGUAAUAAAAUAGUUCCUUGCUGCUGAUGUUGAAGGUGCUCAAUUGUUAUGCUACUUUAUUAACUAUACACACAAAAAGAAAUAAUCCAAGUGAACACAGUCGGAUAUGGUACAUGUCAACAUGGUUUCAGGUGAUGGAUUUUGUUAUAAUCUGUUGAACUAAUAAUCCCAUACCUAUAAUCCACUUAUACAAAAAUUAAAUGUAUAUCCCAGCAAUAUAGUGAAUCAUCUCCACCAUGGCUAGAAGUAUUAUACAAUAAGUACUUAAAAAAGGAGAACUUUGGUGGUUAUGUAGAUGCUGUUGAAAAGGUUUAAAAGUUUUUAUUUCAUCUUCUUGAUUUUUGUUUAUGGAGGAAGACAUUUGUUUAUUCGUAACUGGUCUUGUGUAGAUAUGCAUUCCUAUGAACUAGAAGAACAUGCACUGGUACAUAUUUGUGAUUGAUAUGAAAAGUGAAACAAUCCAUAUAUAUGAUAGUUUACCGGUUUAGGAGUUCAAUUUCAAUAGACUAUGUUUGGUGAUACAUGUGGUGAGAACUAUUAACUUUUGUAAUUACUUUAGAAGUUGGGUAUGCAAAUGCUUGUUCCAUUCUUAAUAUUAGUAUAUCUAUAGAGAAACAUACUCCAUAAGGCAUUGGCUUAUGGUCUUGGUGAAACUUAUAAGAAGAAUAUAUCCAAAUUUUCGUGCAUUAGGCCUGAAUGGUGUUCACAGCAACCAGAUAGGUAUAAACCUACUUACUGUCCUUUAAUAUUUGCAUUGGUCUCCUAUAGUUUUAGCUAUCAUUUGUAGGUAUUAAUGUUCUUCAAUUUUGCAGAAAUGAUUGUGGCACAUAGGUUAUGUAUUUCAUGAAGCAUGUCUUGGAGAUGGAGGCCGAAAUGGUUUUGGUGUUGGAUGAAGCACACUGUGCAUUGGCUUUGAAAUUGUUUCUCCAUCUGCUAAUUUAGUCCAUGAAGACAACUUGGGCUAUCUACCAUGCAUGAAGAAUACUUGUUUACUUACUUGACAAUAUUGCUUCGAUUUUUUGCUGGGAUAAAUUUUGAUGUAAUUGGCCUGCAAAUUUUUUGUUUUAGGGCAAUAGCCUGUAUUGAUUGGAAUGUUUUGUUUGUUGAGGGUCUUACCAAGAAAAUGACUUCUACUGUUGUGCUUCUUAUUGGAUUGAUUGUCAGUUUGUCUUGGAUGGAAGAAGUGAAAGCUGGAGUUGGUUUUGUAUUGAUCAAGACAAUUAACUAUAAACUAAUAUAAAAUUAAGAUUAAUGUAUUUACUUCUCGACUCAAACAAAUAUUUCAAAUAGUUCUAAGUCUUACUUUAUGUGUAAAUUAAUAUAAAUAUAUUUAGUUUGCCAAAAAUGAGAUGUUUGAAUAUUGAUAAUAUUUACUUAAUCUUAUCGACCAUCAAAGAGGUUUAUCCAUCUUGAUUUCAUGAAAUUAUGAUUAACACUAUCAUAAUCAAAGAUGGCCCUUUACCUGUCUUAAAUAUGAUAUUUGUAUACAUUGAAAUUAACAAGAUCAUAAUCAAAGAUGCCUUAUUAAUUUUUAAAUAUGAUAUUUGUAUAUAGAAGAUUAACAUUAUUAUAAUCAAAGCUAACACAUCAAAUCUUAUAUUGUCCUCAUAGGAAUGGGUUUAAGAGCAUUAUGGGGCCAUAUCACAUUCAAACACUCGAACCGAAUACAUAAAGGAAUACGUAGGUUACUUCAUAGGAAUUCACAUAAAACUAUCAAAACAUUUCCUAUUCCUUGUUGGACUAAUUCCAAAGUCUACCAUCACACUUCCUGCUAUGGCCUCCACAAGCUCUGAAGCAUCAGUAGCUUUUGUGAACUGGCCAAGCUGAAGAUGCAGCUGCAGAAUAGGAUUGUGCAAGAUAAAAAUAGCUAGAACCGAUCCGGCAAAUUGAGGCAGACAUUACCAUGAUUUCCCUCACACAGAAGUAUAGAGUUAUUAGAAGUAGUUUCUAGCAUUGUAAAGUGAGUUUAUUUUGCUUAUGCUAAUAACAAUGCAGAGAAAGUGCUCACCAUUCAUCGGCUGGUGUCAUGAGUAUGCAAAUGUUUUGAAAAUGGUUGUUGAAGGUGGAAUGGUCGUGCCUGAAGGCAACAUAGUUAUGUCGGAGCAGCCUUUGAUCAACACACUUGAGUGUAUGGAAGCAAUUGAUGGUAUCCAGAGAGAUAUAGUUGCAAUGAAGAAACAAAUUUGGAUCCUUAAGUGUAUCAUUUUUUGUAUGGCGGUCUUGGUUUUGUUAGUGUUUGUUAAUUAAGUUAUGAUGUAAUAUUAAGCCGACCACUGGUUUCAUUUGAAUAAAUAAAUAUUUUGUGAAAACAUAUAUGUGAUUAUUGGUUGGAUAGGUUUAUUAGUUGUUAAAAUGGCAUAAAUGUUGAGGUAUUAUUUUUUUGUGAUAACUAAAUUUUCAUUGCACAACCCCAGUAUAUCUUCAGUAUAUUAAUAAAUGGAUAAGUAUACUAAAUGAUGUUAGUGUUUAAAUUAAGUAUGAAGUUUAAAUUUUAUCUUCAUCUUGUAAUAUGUAAUAAGACGGGUUGUUGUUUCUAAAGAAGAAGUAUAUUAAAUGGCAUGACUUCUUAAACCCGCCCUUUAAUUUCAAUAUUUAUUUUCAGCUUCUAAUUAUUCAUAUGAUUUAAGAAAAUAUGACACAGGAGGAAAAAGUAUAUUAACACCUGGGAUAAGUAUCUUGAAUUAAAGGGAUAAGUAUAUUAAUUUUUUUGCUAGGAUAAGUAACUUCAAUUAAAGGGAUAAGUAUAUUAACACUUGGGAUAAGUAACUUCUUAGACUCAAGCUUUUUUGCUGUAUCUUCAAUUUUUACUAAACACUAGGGGUAAGUAUACUAAACACAAGCGAUAAGUAUAUUAGCACUUGCUAUGACAUUUUUUUUAGCAAUUGAAUUUAAGACAAUGUCAUUAUUUAUUAUUUACACAAACUUCAUUAUCAACAAUCGAAAAUUCAAAAUAUCUCCAUUGAAUGAAUAAGUCAUGUGAACUUCUGUUGUCAAUGCUCAUGCACAGCAGUCUAUGACAAGCACAUAUCACUCAUGAUUGUGACAAUUCAUUCAGUGGUUUUUGCAUGUACGAGGAAUUGCCUAGCCUUGAAUUUUUUUGGCCAGUGACAUUUCAUCCGCUAACAUGCAUUUGUAUCACAUAUUGGUGUCUUUCCGUAUACCUCGAACACACCAAAUAGCAGGCAAAGACAAUCUGGCUUCUAUAACUGACAAGUAUUGCUUGGUACCUUAGAUGAUUGACAAAUUAGACUACUUCUACUAGGCUCCUCAUAUUAUGCACCUUAUGAAUUCUAGUGACUAACAAGAAUGAAUUUCUUCUCUAGUUAGUUGAGGCACAAAAUAUUCCCUUCAAAAACAACUGGAUCCAUUAGAGUUUGAUAGAAGUUAGUAUUCUGUUGUUCCCUUAUAACUGAUAGAAUUGGGAGUUGAACUCCUUUUUUAAUCAUUAUAACUAUGGAGUUUUACUCGUGUAAUUGAACUACUUUCUUAAUCAUUAACAUAGUAAGAAAAUAUUUCAUGAAUAUUAUGUUUACUUCAUCAUUGUAAAAUACUAGACUUUAAUAUAUAUUAGGACUUUAAUAUUUUGAUUUGUUGGGAUAAGAUUCUUUAAAAAAAAUAAAAGAUGAUUGUUUGGAUCCUACUACCUUAUAUGACGGAUAAACAAUUUACAUUUACUAAUUUUAAUGAUCUUAAACUUUAGCACAAUAUUAAAGGAUAAUUGUAUGAUACUUAAGACAUGUUUUACCAUCGGGAUUAUAUUCCAAUUACGUAAUAACCAUUCCAUUAACGAUUCAAAAGUACAAAUUCUUUCAAAAGUGAACUGAGGCUUCAAAAACAAAUAACACGCAUUACUACUUGAAGCAUGCACCUUAUAUGUAGCCCAUUUUAGGUGAGUGGUUAAAAAACAAACUAAUGAAGCCCAAUAUUCUAGAAUAAACUACCAUCCAUCAACACUCCAAACAAAAGGUCUCCAUUCAGAAUACUUGCAUUAGUUUUUCUGCUAUCGUCCAUUUCUAAUUGCGUGCAUAGUUAUCCAACGUGUGUGGUCAUGCCUCCUUUGUCCCAAUUGAAGUCUUCUGUGUCUUCACACCACUUUUGAUAACAAAAUGGUUAGUCUUGAGGAACUAAUUUUAAACAAUAAUUUGUUAAAGCCAGGUUCCUUGAAGGAUAUUGUCCUCACAUUUCCUUCCAAUGAAGUAGAACAAUUUGAUUCUGCGCCAUUGCCACUACGUCUACUCAGAUCACCCACAGUAUGUGAAGAGUGGCAAGAUCCAAACGAAUGAAUAUUACUGUAUAAGUAGUAAAAUCUCUAUGCCUUUCUCCAUGAUCUUAUGCCGAAGACCCAUGUUUUGCCUUAAUAAAGUCUCAUACCACUCUACUGGGACUUGCAAGGAUGUUAAGAAUAACGAAUUUGAGAAACUAAUAUCUUUUUUAUCCUAAACAAUAUGAAAAACUAAUUUUUGAAGAGAUUGUUAGGUUCUCAUGCCUUUCUUUUGUACCCAACAAGGACGGGCAGGCCAAAAACAUUUUCGAUGACAUUGUGAAUAGUCUCCUGCCUCAUUAUCAAAGAGGGUUUUCAUGAAGGGGACCUUUUUUUGGGCUGUCAUUUGCAUGGCCAACCAUUUAAGUAGUCAUGUUUUUUGUUAGUAUUCCUACAUAUUCCCGUUAGGGGGGCAUUAAAUUUUUUUGAAUAAAAUCUUCAUAAUUGACAGUAGAAGAUCACAUAUUAAAAAAUUGUGCACAAUCCACCCCUAUCAAAAGAGUGCCUAUGGUAUCUUCUUGGACAAGUGAAAUGCUAAGCAUAUCAUCCGAUGGUCCUUGCGGUUCAGCAACUUAUGUGUGUUCACCAAUUUGUCGGCAAACCGUCUCCCAAAUAGUACAUCAAUCCCAAUAGGCCCUUAUAAAGAAGUCAAGUUGGAUUCAAAAUUGAUUUGCACUCGCACUCCAUCGGUAAAAUCCAUUGUUUCCAUGGCCUCCAUGUAACCUGGCUUAUAAUAAAAGUUAAAGGCUAAAUAUCAAUAUUUGAAAAUCAUAUGAAAAAUUGUAACCUAUAAAUAAGUCAGAAAUUACUUCAUCUAGGCUGAUAAAAUAUAAAGCUCCUCUAUAUAGUUGAAACGAUGAUAUCCACUCUUGUUGCAAUUGUAACUUCUCCAUCUCGUCAUUCAGGAAUAUAUGCAUUUCUCAUCAACGAUAUUACCUCCAUGCACCUGCAGUAUUUCAUAAGCUCAUACCUAAAUGAAAAAGGCGAAAAACUUGUCUUUGCAAAUAGUUAUAUCCCGUCUUAUAUGAACAAUCAUAAGUAUGCUACCUUACACACAAAUCCCAUGCCACAUAUAGUUUGAGUUUACAUUCUUGAUAUAUCACACAUAUUUUAUAUAGUGUUGCUAGUGCUUCUGCUCCCCAAUUGUAUAGGCCAAUCUCAUCAACACUCUUCAUGCCAGUUAGCCAUACCACAGGGACAAAUCCAAUUUUAGUGUGAAAUAUAAUCUUGUCAAACACAAAUAAGAUGUACCCUCUCGCCAUUUGCUCUGCCACAACUUCGUUGUUAGGUGGGACUUCCAUGACAAUAUAAUACUUCUACAGAUUAUCAACAAUAAUAUGAUGAUCAGCAGCCAUCUGAGGUACAUGACCAAGCAUUUUGAUGAGAUAAGCUUUGUCAACAGAAAUUGUCACCUCCCAAUAGCUAACCCCAUGAUUGCUAUGAAGUCCAAAGGUGUCAUUGUCAUCUCAUCCAUGGCAAAGUAAAUUGUAUUAGAAGAAUCCUAUCACCUCUCUACAAGUGUGUAAAAGAGUUUUCGGUCUAUUUCAAUGAUCGAAAUUGUAUCAAUAAAUGUUUUCAGUUCCAUUGCCUCUAAUAGUGAUGCUACAGCAGUUGGCGAUCGCUGCCAUCAAGCCACCAGGUCCAAAAGUGUUGGCUGGAUGCAUCAUAUUCACACUACAAAAAAAACAGGAAAAUGAGUACAAACACAUAAGCCUGGACACAAAAUUUUAGAGCAAGAAGCAACGGAAGUAAAAUUGCAUCCAAAAAAUAAAUAGGUCAUAAGCUGUUUGUGACAUCUCCUGGACAAGUGGAUCUCCAGAGACUUCAGCAGUGGUUUAUUAGAUUAUAAGAAAUCUCCUUCCUCAGCUUCGGUUUGGUAGCUAUCUAUAGUAUUGGCAGACUUAUACUCGCUGGAAGCCAAAAUAGGCAUUAGAUUUCUCAUUUAUUUUGGUUGCAUAAGCCGUGAAUUGUACUGAAUAUAAGUCUCUAAAGGUGAAUUUUAUGCUAACACUACUUAGUGGCAACCACUAUACACUUUAGGUCCUUAUAUAUUGCACCCCCGAGUGAUUUUUUGGUACAAUAUAAAUUUUGGUAAUGAUUAGAUUUUUAUAUUUUUUUCGAGAAAAAUUACUAAACUUUACUUCUGUUAACUACCAUACUUCAAAUUAAAGCAGUAAUUACAAAGUAGCCGUAAUGUAUUAUAUUUUUGUUAAAUUUUUUUCACUUCUUUUUUGAUUACAUAUAUUAAUAUUAAAUUUACAAAGAACAUAUAAAUUUAAUGAAAAGGUUAUAAUAUACAGGAUUGCAAAACGAGUUGAAUCAACUCAAUUUUCUUGACUUCUAGCAUGAUCUCGAGCUCCACGAGCUUUGAUUGUAAAACUCGAGUUCAACAUCGAUCUCGAAUUCGAGCCUAGUUUAGCUCGAGAAAAUAUAUUUUAGAAAAUAACAUCAAAUUCAGCUUGAUAGUCAUUUCUAGUCAUGGUCAAAUUAGUUCACAAAUUAGAUUAUGUUAUAUGAAAAUAGCAAAGUUAAUGCACUUAUUAGAAUAAAAUGUCACUAUAGUAAUAGAAGUAAAUAACUCUAAGUUAUCAUAUGAUCCCAUGGACCAAAUGAGCUCUUCAUGAAAUGAGAGGUGGUUACUUAGCUUCGGAUGAGUAAUCUUGUUGUCCAAUGCUUAGUUGAUUUUACGUUAGAUGUUUAAUUUAAUAAAAAAAAAUAUCAACUUGUGUUUCGUCAAUAAUAAGAUGAAAUAGAAUUACUUAUAGAUCAAAAUUGCUUUUUGACAGAUCUACUAUUAAUUCUAUCAGUAAUAGGGGCAAAUUAGUCCAAAAAAGUAAAUUUUAAUUGUCAUGGCCAAAUUAUCCCAACACAUAAAUUUUGUAUUCGUAGGAGCGGGUUUUGAAUCAAAUGUUAUUUAUUUCUUUAAUAUGGGUAAAUGCGUAAAAAGUUUAAUUUUGUUAAUUGUAUGACUAUAUCUAUCGAAAAUCAUGGUGUAUGAUUAACUUAGAUAGAUUAGUCCAAAACUCAAUUUUUUAUUAGUUAUGGCAAAUAAAAUCAAAAUUCUAUUAUUUUAUUAAUAUGUAGUUAACAUAAUUUAUGUAGUUGUUUGAAUAAAUUAUUAUAUAGAAGGUGUUGAAUUAAUAUUUGUAGAUUGUAAUAAAAGUAAUAUCAAGUGGCACAAAUUGAUGAAAUGGACAGAAUCGAAACGUGUAAAAUUCACUAGGGGAAAAAAUUUGUGCAAAUUCAUGGGCUUGUUUUCUACUUCAAACUAGGAAUAAAUUUCACAAUUGCUGCACUUUCACUUCUUCUUGAGAUGCCAAUGUGUGGUGGGAUCCCAAAUUUUGAAACCCUAGUUAAUCUCCUAUAGGCUUGUGUGUGGUGUUUAUUCCUUUUCAAUGCUAGUACCAUCAUCCCUAUAGUCAAAGUCCAUGCAUUAGACAAAAUUAAACAAGUAACAAACACUAUAUCCCAUCGUUUUGCUUGGAUUGAUGUUUCAAAACUCUGUCAUUACGGUGAACUAACCUCCAGUUCUUAUGCAUGAGAAGGCUCCAUCAAAAUACUGUUAGGCAUAUCAUCCAUUACACUAGAUUUUUCAGUUCUAUAUCCGCUCUGCAAAAGAUAUCAAUAUAACUCUGCAUCUUAUCACAAUGGAAAUCAUCAUUGUAAAACUUGAAAGUGCCUAUGUAUGAAUAAGUAGCAAUUUGUUAUAACCAAACCUAAUGCAUGUUCAUUUAUAAUCUUCAGGCUCCUAACAUGUGUAUUCUUAACUUGAGAUGCUAAGAAGCCAUCACAUAAUUUGGAAAGUUAUUAAUCUAAUCCUGGACAAUAUUUCAUUUGGCAUGUGUUCGAGGGUAUAUUGCUUGUAAGUUUAGAUUUAUCCAAUCACCCUUAGCCCUCAUAACCAGUAGAUUUUUGAUCCCAAGUAGCCUUCGUUGCCCAUCUACUUCUACACUAGUUGUAUCACCAAUAUUGUGGUCCUUGGACAAUACUAAUUUUUUCAUAUGCGCAAUUUUUCUAUGAACAAAUUCUCUAAUCUGGGCAACCGAUCCGUCAUCCACUUGUGAUGCAUAGUAACACAUCACAUUGCACUCAAAAACUAGAUUCCCAUAUGUUGCCAUUUGAGUAAAACUAUCAAUAAUAGUUUCCCCUAAACUUUCUUUCUCAAAUUCUGCAUUAGAUCAUUUAUCCCAUCAUUUCAACAAGUGACAAUUUGGUAUCCGACUUAUGUGAUUACAUACCAUGAUUCGAAAUAUGUGAGCACAUGGGAUGCCAAUAUCAUCAAAUGACAUGCAGGAGCACUUCAUUUCUAGUGUGUCUCUAUUUACCUCCACUCACUAAGUAGAACCUAGUGAUCCAUAUUUAUUCAAGAGGUAAACCGUGUGGUUGCCAAAUGAACCAAUCCUGUUAGGAUUAUAUACCUACACUUGAUGAUUUCAUCACGAACUUGGAAAAAAAAUAGUACAGGUGUAGAACUCCGUUUCAUGUUUUUUCAAAUUUGGAAAGGCAGUGAUCAUUACAAUAGUGCUAUUUUCGGUGUUACUGUGUUCUUUGCAAUCUUGAUGUCUCAGCCAUGCAAUUUCCAUUUCACGUCCAUUGAUGAAUUCAAACAGUUUCAUGCCAUCAUCCAAAUACAUUUUCAUUAUAUCAUUCAUUUUUUCAUUUCUUUCGGUACUUCUUAUUCUUGUAAAGAAUUUUUCUCUUAAGUAUGCAUGUGCCUACAACAUUCUCCAACAAUAAGGUAUCUUCACCCAUUCAUUGUUAUGCAGUGCAUAGUUCUCGACUAAUUUCCUUCAUUCCAACUCAAACCGCUCCUCAGUGUACUUCAAAUACAUAUAUCUAUGAAGACCCUCAAAAAUUUGUGGCAGUUUUUCACACCAAUUUUGGCAUUUUGUUGAAAAGCUAAGAACAUAAUCGGUGGUGUGCUUCUAAAAGAAUAGUUUUGAUUGCUGUCCUAAUCGAUUUGUGACCAUCUGUUAGAACUGAUACAAGUUUCUUCUCGAACAUUGCCGAUAUGAAAUCUGAUUUAUUCAAAUAUAGUUUUCAGUAGUUUCCUUAGACAUUAGUGCACAAGCAAAGACACAGGUUUGAAAAUAAUUAUUAAUACAUCUCCAAAAUGACGGUAUUCAACUAGAGACCAUGGUUCAAAGAUUCGGCCGAGACCGAGACGAUUUGACAAAGUUGUCAUCGAAAUGGAGCUAUCCGUUCUGAUAUCAGGACGAAAUGAUUCCAAAAUAAUGAAUCACCGAGAACUAGGCCAAGACGUCUCGGAGACAAAUAGAAUCGAUCGAAUCACCCCAAAUCAUCCCGAGUCAACUCAAAAUUUUAUUAUUUUUGCUUAUCAUUUUUUUACAAUUUUUAAAAUAUUAAAUGUCUUAAAAAUUUGCGUCUCGCCGAAACCACGAUCGGUAUGCUGAAAUCGAUGUGGAAUGAUCCUAACCACGACUGCGAUCGCGACUUUGAACCAUGCUUGAGACCGUGAAUCCAUCUAAAAAAGAGUGUGCAGUCUACUUUCAUCAUCCAACUGGUACAAAUAAUAGAACAUUGGAUCAUUAGCUUGCUUUCCAGCCAAAAAUGCAACUGCACGUUCUGCAUCACCAUCAGCAAUUUCUUUCUUCCUCUCAGCAUCUAUCUUGUUGUAUAGAUCUUUCAACAUGAAUUUCAAAUUACUAUAUCCACCUGCUUAUAACACAAAAAAUUUCAUGAUCUGACUAGUUUCAACACCCACCCUUCGCAGGCUUUUGGCUAGAGCAUAAUCUUAACGACGAACCGAUCAUGUCAUCGGUCCAGUCUAGCACAAAAGCUAGACUUAACUAAAAAAACCCCUAAAAAUCAAAAAAAUUGUAUGAACCGUUAAAAAUCGAUAAAACUACAGACCGCUAGUCUUUUAAAUCUUUUAACUUUCUAGUCCACUUAAAGUCAUAAGAGAAAAUAUUAAAAAAAAUAAAACUCUGUCUCAAACACACAAACAUUACUAAAGCCCAAAAUUGUUGCCGGUAUUCACCCCUGUUUCUUCUCCUCACUUAGCAACUAGCAUUGUCUCUAGACUCUCUACUGAUAAUCUUUUUUUCUUCCUAACAAGCUAACAACUGCUAACCUUUCAACAUCUUGAAGCAAAUAUUUGAAGUGAAAUUGAUCGUUAUCUUUGGAGAGAAAAAUGUAAGAUUAGCUCCUCUUGUUUCUUUUCUCUUUUUUUUUUUAAAUUUUCAAUUCCCAAUUUCAUUUAAUUGAUUAGCUCCUCUUGUUCCUUUUUCCCUUUUUUAUUUUCAAUUCCGAAUUUAAUUAAGUUCUUUAAAUUAUUUAGUUAAGGUUUAUUUAAAAUUAAAGUAUGUGAUUAAUCAGACAUAGCAGAAUAUGAGAAUUGAUAUUGUUAUUAAAAAAUUCCAAAAAUAAAGAUUGAAUGUUGUUUGGGUCUUACACAUUGAUAAUGUUGUUUCGGUCCCUUAUGAUUGAUAAUGUUUUUCGCUGGACUAUGUGGUUUCACUAAUCGUCAAUUGUCUUAAGUCAAUUUUUGACUUGACCUUAAAUGGAUGCUAAUGCAUCACUUUUGUAAAAUUGGCCACUAAAAGAACCCUUAAGCUUUUGGUCAUUCAAGACUAUUCAUAAAACAUUCUGCAUAGUUACAUGAAAUGUAAAAGUUGGAGCUUAGGCACUAUAAUUUGUAUGCAUUAAAAAGAAUUGUUUGCUUUAUAUUCAUUCAUUAUCUGUUCAUGGUUAUUGCCUAUUAUCAAAACAAACAAGAGCCGACUAUUCUAUUUCUACAAUUAUACAGGAACAACUAUAGUAUUUGACUAUCUAAAUUGUGAUACUAGGAAUCAAGGUGUUUAGAAUAUUUACUUUUAAUACAUCAAGUGUUGGUGAAUUUUUUUAAAAAUUUUCUUAUUGGUACACCAUAUUGCAAUAAUGAACUAAUUAUGUCUAAAUUAAUUAUGUUAAGGAUAAUGGAUACUGCUAUUGGUAGUAAUUCACAAUCUUCGACUGCGGGAGCCGUCAAUAAUGAAGCAUCGGCAAGUCAAAAUCAUAGGCAAAAGUCGGAUAUAAGAUGGAAUCACUGUUCGGAGGGUGUGAAUAAGCAAGGAAGAAAAACACUAACUAUGGAUAUUGUUUCAAAAUAAUUGCUAGUGGUGGUAUUCAUCAUAUGAAGCAGCAUUUGGCAGGAGAAUAAGGCGGUAUUGUUUCGUGUCCAAAGGUUGAUUCGGCUGUGAGACAUGCAAUUUUAGCAUCGACGAAGAGAAAGAAAAGAAUUCUAAAAAAAAAAAGGGAGACUUUAGAAUAGGAAAUCCAUUUAGCCUAAAUAUGCAUACAUUUACCGGUGACAAAUUUGAAGAAAUCCCUUGUCCUCCGACCAAUAAGAUAGGUGCAUCUAAUAAAUGAAAGAGAAAAAUAAUGGCCCUAAUAGAUAUACAUACUUUCUUUAAAGAUAGGCGUGAUACUUUUCAACCCACCAUCAAGACUUGUUUGCAAAGUAAAGAAAAAUGGAAAAAUACAAACAUAACUAUUGCUCUUUGGUUUUGUGAUGCUUACAUUCCCAUAAAUGAUGUUAACUCUCCAUUUUUUCAAAAAACUAUUGAUCAAAUAGUUUCAAUGAGUUAUGGAUAUAAAGGUCCAUCAUAUCAUUCUUUGAAAGUUCAUUUGUUACAAAAUGCUAAAACAGAUGUAAAAUUGAUUGUUGAUUCAUUUCAGAGUACUUGGGCAGAAACUCAUUGCAAUAUAAUGGGUGAUGAAUGGAAAGAUACAAGGUUUACUGUCCUAAGGGCAUUUCUUUUAUUAAAUCUGUUGAUGCAUCUGAUAUUGUAACAAGUGGAGAAAAUUUGUGUAAUGUAUUUGUUGAAAUUGUUGAGAUGGUUGGUCCAAGAAAUGUGGUGCAUUUAGUUACUGAUAGUGCUAGUAACUAUAAGGCUACUAGAGAUUUGCUGAAUGAAAGAUGUCCAAAUAUUUGUUGGUCACCAUAUGCUGCACACCGUAUUAAUUAAAUUUAAAAAAAUAUUAGUGAAAUGAGUGAUGUAAGAGCUCUAGUGUCUCUUGCUUCAACAGUGAUUAUUUUUAGCUAUUUUCACAAGUUCACUUUGAAUUGGUUGAGAAAGACUAUAGGAUGGAAAGAAAUUAUCUGUCUAGGUGAAACUUGAUUUGCAACUACCUUUAUUGCAUUAAAAAGUUUGCAUUAUCAUAAGGAUAGUUUGCAAUCUUUGGUUACCAGUAAAGAUUAUAGAAAAUUUUUGAGAAUUAUAAAGGAGAAAGAGGUGAAGCAAAUUGUUUUGGAUGAAAGGUUUUGGAAUAAUUGUUUGAUUAUGGUGAGAAUAAUGGGUUCACUUAUCUGUUUAUUGCAUAUUUGUGACAUUGAUGAAAGACCUUUAUUGGAUUAUGUCUAUGAAGGCAUGUUUAGAGCAAUAAAUGGCAUCAAAAAACUGUUUAAAAAAUAAAGAGUUGUUGUACAAGCCUUAUAUUGAUAUCAUCAAUGAUAGGUGGGAUAAGAUGUUGAGAAAAAAUUUACAUGCUGCAACUUAUUAUUUGAAUCCUGCAUUUCAGUAUGAUAGUGCUGCUUUUCUACACACAGAUAUUAUAAAUGGGCUGCUAGAUUAUAUUGAAAUAGAAGUGGAUUGGUAUAACCCUAAAAAAUUAUCACAAGAGGUUAGAAUGUACCGAGAGCGGCAAGGGAGUUUUGGCCGAAAGCUUGCUAUUCUUACUAGCAAGUCGGAUCAACCAGAUAAUUUAUAUUAUGUCUAAUAUUUAUAAUUUAUGAAUUUAUUCUUAUUUUGUCUAAUAUUUUAAUGUGAUAAUGAUAGAGAAUUGGUGGAAGUUAUAUGAUUGUGAUGCUCCAAAUUUUAAAAUCUUGUAAUUAGAAUUUAAGUCAGACAACUUCUUCUUCUAGAUGUAAGUGCAAUUGGAGCAUUUUUUAGCGCAUUCACACUAAAAAGGAAUGAAUAGAUUGGAGCAUCAAAAGCUCAAUGAUCUUGUCUAUGUGCACUACAAUUUACGCUUGCAAUAUAGGUAUAAUUAGAUUCUCUUUGCAUUUGAUUUUUCUAAUGUACUACUAGAUUUAUAACUAAUGUAUUGUUUCAUAGGAAUGAUCAGCGAAAGAGAUCUUAUAAUCUUAUUGAUUAUGAAUCUAUUGAUAAAACGGAAUUUUGGAUCAUAGAAGAACAAAAAAAUGAUGAGCUUGAUUAUAAUUACUUAGAGGAAGAACUUGAAGAAUUUGUUAAUGUUGGUUUCCAAUCCCAACAAGUUGAAGGUUGGUUGUAAAUUAAAAUAAAUAUUUUUUUUACUCGUAACAUGUGGUGCUAAAAGUGUUUAUUUGAGUUUUAUUUUUUCUAGUAUUGAUUAAUUCAUAAUUAUUGUAUGAUUUAUUUAAUUAGACAAAAAAAUGAAGUUAGGGAAGAUAUUGAUUUGGAAGCAUUUCAAUGCAAGUGCCUUUUGGAUGGCGAUAGAGAUAAUGAUUGGUAAUAAAAAUGUUUUAAUUUUAAUUGGUGAUGGUUAGUAGUAAUUAAAUUUUUAGAUAUUUAGUUUUAUUUUGUUCUCUUUUGAGUUUUUUUGUGUUAUUUUUUAGUUAGUUAAUUUUUUUAUUUGGAGUUUAAUAAAAUUGGGCUUAUAUAUUUGUAUUGAAUUUUUUACUAUUUUAGGUUAAAUUGAAGAAGUUGUCAAGGCAUUGAUAUUCACAUAUAUGGUGCUACCUUAUGAUGACAAUGAAGGAAACUUGUUAUUGAAAGUUUGAAACUAUUGGCUAUUAGAUUGUCGCUGCACUUCAAUUAUUAGAUUUGUUGGGAUUCUUUUUGUGAACUUUCUUAAGAUUGUGACAUGUAUUUUAAUUAGUAUUUGGAUUAUGCUAGUUAGUGUUAUUUAUGUUUGGCAUAAGUACUAAUGAAUAUCUAAUCCUGAAAAAUGAUGUCUUCAAUGUUAGAAAAUAUUAUCAUGUGUUCCCUAUUAGUUGAGAGAGAGAGAGAGAGAGAGAAUCGUUGAACCGGCCGGUUGAAUCAAUUGAACCGUAAACCAUUCCCCUGAUCGAUCCGAGUUUUAAAACAUUGGUGAUGGAUCCUUUCUUGUUGAAGAACUUGUAGUUUAGGUUUAAAGUAAUGCCAUUUAUUAUUCCCAACAACAUUUUCAAUUCAUUAAAUUUUUUAUAACUUAUUUCCAAAUGCUUUAGUUGCAGUUGGUAAAAGCAUUGAAUGCAACUUGGACAAAAAACCUUGGAACGAAUCCUCAGACAAUCAAGUUAUGGUACAACUAAAUUGAAAACCUUGGAACUAAAUUUAGUUCCGAAUCUUGGAACUAAAUUUUGUCUGAUACAAUUUCAUUGGGAAAAGUUACACCAAAGCAAAGCAAAAAUAUAUCCCUAAUGGACUUCGUUUAGAGGAAAUGGAAGAAUUGAAAAUUUGAAAACGAAGUUAAAAAUUUGAAUUGGCCUCACAAAACAAAAUGGAGAGAAGAAAGCGGGCUUGGUAUGUGAAUGUUUCGACUAAUAUCAGAAGAAGAGUUGGGGUAUGCCAUCAGAAGAAGAAGGAAGAAGACAAACAGUGCAAUAAGAGUGCAAUAAAAGAAGGCCAAAGUUGGUAGAAAAUUUUAUGAGCAAUGCGUGCAAGGCAAGCGGCAAGGUAGAAGCGAAUUAAAGAGGGAAUUCAUUAUCUCACAUUGCCCACCAUUUUUCGUGCAUCUUAAUAGCAGAAGCAACUGCGCUAUCCAAAUUCAGUGAAACAUAAAGCACUCAGCGGGCUAUGUGACAACCCCACCUCCCCCUAAGGUGAACCAAAGGGUUCGGCGGACCGCCUGCCCAACUCUCGCCGGGACUCAGUCGUUCACUACAGUUCUCAAUUGAAUUACAAUAUAAAUCUCAAGUAUACAUCCAAUGUUCCACAAGUUCACAUACUACCAACUAAAACCUCAAGAUAUACAAGCAAUACUAAUUUUUCGAAUAAAACAAAGGUCCUCAAUUCUCACAAAUUUCUCCAUGAAUAUACAAAUAUCCGUUCAAGUCCAAUCAUUCAAACAAUACUAAUUAUUACACAAGAGGAGUCCGGAUUCAAACUAUACAUGAGAUAAUCCAUCCAGUCACAUGAAUAAGUACUACAAGCCCUUCCUUCGCCUCGAACCCUGUGGAGAGGAAUAAAAUAGUUUUGGGUGAGCUAGAAACCCAGCGAGUAACCAGUAAAAUCAGUAAUCAAAUCAGUUUCACAAUCGUUCAUUUCCAUGAUGUCAUGAAUCAGUAAUCAAAUGUACGUUUAUUGCUCUCGUGAGUCAGUAAAAUCAUUGUACUUAGCAUCCAACGCUCAAAAUGAUCAGUUAACAGUGAGACAGUGAUAGGGAGCCCGUUGGUGCUCCAGAUGAACAGUAAACAGUGGUGAAAACGUUGGUUCUAAGCACAAGACUUCCCAAGAACUCAUUGAAACCAAAUCAUAUCAUGAACUCGCAUGCAAGUACACAUGAUAUGCAAUCGAAUAAAUAAUACAAGAAACAGUUCAUAAGUAGUUUUACAAAUAGUUUGGGGUCACUCACCAACCACGGCUCAUAAUCCUCUUCCAUUAUAGACAAUUUCAUAGAUCGAACUCAAACCCUUCAAAUCAAAUUCAAAGAAACCAAACACUCUCAAAGAUCGGACAAUAUUUUCCCUUAAAUUCUUUAUUUCCCAACCUACAACCAAAUAUCAAUUCUCAUAACAAUUAACCACAAUCGCACAUAUGGUUCAUAAGCAAUACAAUACAUCCAAUUAGGACCACAAUCCCCCUUCAAUCAACACCAAUUAGGAGCUUAACAACCAUUCCAUAAGAAAGCCCCAAAUUAAAGCCCAAACUCAGAAUUUCCGCACAAAUCAGAAAUUUUUCGUAAACAAUCGUAUCCAACGUACACAAGCUCCAUUUUAUACCACAACAAGCUAUCAUUCCAAGACCAAUGAACCAUAAUCAUAUAAAAUCAGAAAAAUCCCCAAUAAAUCAGAAAUUGGUCCAUCUCUACUUAAAUUCAUAAAAUCAUCCACAAUAUAACAUAUUUAACUACUACAAACCACUAAUAUAUCAUUAUUAAAACAAAAAACGGAACUUUCUUAGUAACUCACCUUAUAAACUCAAGAAAGAUAGCACCUUAAAACUUCUCCUUUCAAAACAACUCCAUCAACUUCUUCAAACUUUCAUAGUGAGCCCUUGUAUGGAGUAGUUUCCAAAAUUAUCGGUGAAAUCUCAAGAUUUUGACAAAAAUUGAAACUAGGAAAAUUGAGACCUUUUCUCUCUAUGAUGCACGGCUGAACAAGGGGAAGAAAUGAAGAUAUUUUGGACUAAAAACAAUAUAAGAAAGAAGAAAAUCAACUGGUCAAAAUUGAUGGCCGACAUGCCACGUCACAAUCCAACCGGAUUUAAAGCAGUGGCAAAAAUCAUUUUUUUUCAAAACUCCAAGGCAAUCCGGCCAGGUAUUCGGCCGGAUUCGCCAAAACAAAACUAAUCAGAAUUUUUUUUUCUUUUUCUUCUUCUGGGUGUCACAGGCCAAGGUAAUGUAAUUGAAUUAUGUCAGCAACUUUGUGAAUCUUAUACGAACAACUUUCUAAAUAUUAGAUUCAAUAAAGACAUAAAAUGAAAAUGAUAAAAGAAUAAUGAAAUUGUAUCGUAUGUCUGUGUGAGCGUAGAACUUUUCAGUGAUGGACUAUAAUAGGAAAGUAGUUAUCCAAAGACGUAGGGGUAUUACAUCGAGUAAAGCGUCAAGCGGAAUGAGGGAAAGAGGAGAGAAACAAAGUCAUAUUUAACAAGUGAAUGAAUGUACAUCUUGUUGUAACUAAAUUAUAGGUUAUAGGCACACUAUUACAAUUAAUAUGAAUCAUUGUGCAUCCAGUAGUUGAUCGAUGCUCAUCACGCAAUCUUAGUUUGUCCUUUUGCUGACUAUGCAGUGUGUAUAAAAUGGAGGUGUAGAGUUAAAUAAGGUAAAGCAGAGGAAAAGACAUAUAUGUGAAUAAUAAAUGGGUAUACCUGGUAUUGUAAGUAAAUUACAUGAUGUAAAAAAAUAUUACAAUGAGUAGAAAAUGCUUGUUUGGCUCUCAAAAUGUAGAAAAUAGUAUAAAAUACGGAGUUGGUUUAGGCGGGUAUCAGUAACGAAUGACAAAACGUCCAGUGAAAUAAAGUAUCUAGAACCUAAAUAUAAUCGGCAGAGUGGAUGUACAUACAGUUAAAAUAUACUUACAUCGUGUGACCAACACAUUAUAGUCCGUAUAACUUAGUGUAUAUGGAGUUGUAUUUGUACAUAGAUAAUGCUAUUGUUUUAGAGUAAAAUAAAGUGAUGUGUAUCAUUAAUUAUAUUGAUAAGCGUAAUAAUAGGAUUUGGUAUACAAGUAAUGUGUGUAACAUAAUAUAUUGUGAAUGGUAAUAUACAUUUAUGUUGUCGUUUAUGCACAUACUAUUCAUGAACUGUUGCAAAUUAAGGUGUUUGAUGCAAAAUUGGUAGAAGUAGAAGUAAUGGAUUGCAGCAAAUUGGUAAAAAAUGGGACCCCUGAAUUAGGAACGGAGUUCAGCAGUGAAGAGGAUGCUUACAAGUUUUACAACAAAGAUGCCUUUCAAAUGGGUUUUAGCAUACGGAAAGACUAUCUAAAUAAAAACAAAGACGAUGUGACCACGUCGAGGAGAUAUAGUUGAUACAAGAAAGGUGUGAAAUGCAAGUACGAAGGUGAUGUGAUACCAAAGCGAAUACAAGUGUCGCCGAAAAUAAGGUGUGGAGCUAAAAUGGUUAUCGUGUUGCGUAGAGGGACAAUAAAGUACCGUGUGCAUGACCUUGUCUUAGAAUAUAACCAUGAGUUGCACAUUGUUCAAUGUUCGCAUAUGAUACCAUCACAAAGAAAUGUGAGUGAAACUCAAGGAUUCCAAACUGAAAUAAACGAGAAUGCUGGACUUUCAUUGAAAUAGAGCCAUGAGCUUAUGGAAAAGGAGGCAGGUGGGAUGGAUAAUGUGGAAUAUACUCAGGGUGACCUUAAACGAUAUCUUUGUACGAGACGGGAAAGGAGUUUGACAUAUGGAGAAGCAGGUAGCAUGCUGAAUUAUUUUCAAAGUUGGGUCGAUAAAUUUGAUAGAUUAAAAAGAAAAUUUCGAUUGUCAAGGACUACACAGACUAUGGAAUGGGUCCAAUUUUAUGAUGGUAAAUAUUUAUGCUAAAAUAAUGUUAUCGUUGUACUUUUAACUAAAGUUUAGAUACUAUUCACUAUGAAAUAACGUUAUUGUCGUGUUAGUAAUACAGGUCUUAGAAUCGGAGCCGGCAUCGAUUUCAUUUGAUGAACACGUGUUUAUGGGAUGUUGCUCAUCUAUUGACUCGAUUUCGAUUAGUAUAAAAUGGCCAUGGUUUUAGCUCUUAUUUGGAUGUUUCUAACAGAAUGAUUAGUUACAUUGAUGUUAUAUUAUGUGAUAAAUUUGUUACGCUUGACUUCCCAUUCUCAUAUACUUAUUUUGUCUUCUUAUACAAUUGUUUGGCCUUUCAAAACUCUUAAAUGUAUUCAAUGAGUUAGUCAGUGAAUGGCCUUCCAAACACUGUUGCUCCCGAAAUCGAAUAAAGUAAAAUGGUAUGCAUACGUUUAGUAGGAAAAAUAAAGACUCUGUUGUCACGCCCCACUUUUUGAAAGUGUGAAAGUAGUGUGUAGGAUAUGUAGGUGAACGUGUGUGAAAGUAAAAAUAAAUGGCCGUGAGAUUGUGAAAUGCGACGGUUUGGCCAAACAAAGGGUUUUAGAUAGAAAAGAAGUCGCCACUUGGUAUAGAGUUAGGGUGUACCAAGUCACCCAAAAGUGAUUUUUUGGAAAAAAAAAGUAAACAAACCCUUUUUAAAGAAUUUUUAGGUCUACGUAACCAAAAAAAGGGAUCGGGGGUCACAUUUGAUAAGGGAGAAGGCAAAGGCAAAGCCUAAGACACUCUCUUACCCUAGCCAAAGCUAGUUGCGUGACUUAACUCUUCUUUUCCUAAUUCUUCUACCCCAAGUAUGUGUUGCAUGUUGGAUAUGACUAAUGGAUGCAAAAAAAGAAAAAUGCAAUUCUAAAUCUAAAAUGUCUCUUAUGAGACUUUUUGGUCUCAACCACAUGAGUUGUGAUGGCCAAUAAGGAAAACUCUCAUAGAGGUCACGGGUAAUGCAAAUGAAGACCCAAAUAUGAGUGCAAGUGUGAAAAUGUAAGAAGAAUGCAAAAUAAAAAUACAAAUACAAAUGUAAGUGCAAGUGUGCCAAUGUAAGAAAAGUGUAAGUGUGCCAAUUGAGAAAAAUGAAGGUGUAUGUGUGCAAGUGGAUGAAAAUAUGGUAUAAUAGUAGUAAAUAUAGUAGUGUGCCAAUUGGGUGCAAUUUGUGAGGUAGAAAAAUAAGUAAGUGAUAGGAAAAAAGAAAAUUGUGCAAACAUGGCAUGUGGAUUGAGAAAAAUAUAAGUAGUGAGAGAAUAUGGAUAAAGAAAGUGAGAAAGUGAUAUGAUAAAAAUAAAAGUGUAUGAACCUAGAGAAAUGCAUCAAGUCGGGUACGGGAAUGACUCCUAACUUCAUGACUUUAAUUUUCCCUUUGAUUAGAAGGAAGGACUAGCAUGCUAAGGUUGUUUUGUAGCCACACUCGCUCGUUUCCCUUACCGAAAGGGGACUCUCAAACAAAUGUACCCUACAACUAGCAUGAAGAUGCAAAAACCUAAAAUGAAGGGGAAAGGGUUGGAGGGGCAUGCCAAAUGAUAGAAAACUAAGAAAAAUGCAUGAAAUGUAGUGAAACAUGCAAGUAUGUAUUAACAAGAGGAGACGGCCUAUUAGGUCUAGCAUUGGACUAACCCUUAUCUAUGAAUUCCUACUAGCGUUGGACUAGUGGAAAACGGGACAAUGAGCCACAACUAGCGUUGGACUAGUGUGGUGACGUGCAUCACAUUCAUCUAUGACUAUGGAAAGCAAGUAGACAUGUCAAUCACCUAUAAACACGUAGCACAUAACACUUAACAUGCUCGACUAAAUGCAAGAGUCUAAUAAAGCAAAUUAACACGUAACAACAAAAGCAAGCAAUCAAACUAAUGAACCUAUUACAUUUGUUAACUAAAACAAAAGGGGAAGGGGAAAAAUGGACAAAAUUGCUCUCCAAACCCUAUCUAUUACAAGUCAAGAGGUGUACACAUACCCCAUAAAAGAAUAACUUAAUAAAAGCAAAAGUAAAUGAAAUAAGUGAGAGGAAUUAAAGAAAGGCAAGGAAAGCAAAGUAAACAUGCAAUUCUCACUUAGCACGUUCGAUCACAUAGGAGAGAGACAAAAAAAGGGAUAAAAGAAAUUAUACCUCCCCGUUUAUGAUGUUAAUAAAGUAAACACGACUUAACUUGGGCUAAAAUCACCAAAGAAAGGGAUAACUUGGGCUAAAAACCAUCAAAACAAAGAAUUAAUGCACCAAUUUAGUGGUAAAAUGUAAAUAAGCCAAUUUGAAUCCACAAAAUCAUCGAAUCCUUCUUCAAUUGCAACUUAAAAAUGAUCAAAUAAUGUAUAAUUUCCAAGCAAAAGUGAAUCAUUGAUCAAAUUUCUAAAAUAGCAAAAUGACUAAAGACCUAAUAGCAACCAUUAAUCAAUCAAUCAAGGCCAAAUGAAACAUUUUAGGAACUUUAAAGGUCCAAGAGCAAGAAAAGGUCAAGUAAUGGCUCAAAUUGCAAUUAUUCUAAGACCUAUUUGCAAGAAAUUAGAACCUAAUUGGGUCUUUGUAGCAUUGCUGCAAAAUGACAGGGACCAAAUUGAUUAGUUUUUCCCAAUUUUCUGGGUCAUAGUGACAUAAGGGAAAACUUGAGGGGGUUAAAAGGCAAUUUUGAAAAGUAUUUGCAUGCAUGCAUACGUAGAAAAGAAUUUCUGCAAUUAAUACUUUCUGAAACUAAAAGACCGCCGGUUGCAUUUCCAUUUCAUAUGCAAAUUCUAAGCAGCUUUGACUAAAAACCCUUUCAUCUAUCCAAACUUUGUAUUAAGCAGCAAAACAAACAAAUUCCACAUCCCAACAAGCAAAACAUGGAAGGAAAUUAUGCAAAUACUUAUGAAACCUUUAUGCAAGAUGGAAGAAAAUUGCUGCAAUUGAAAGCUUUGGCAACUGAUGAAGCCUUUUGGUAACAAAACCAAUUGCGACUUUCAUUUCCAAAUGCAAAUUUCAGACCCAACAACAAGAAUAACAAGAAUGCAGCAAAGAAACUUAGCAGCAACAUAUGUUCAUGCCAUUUCCUUAUUCAAAUUAAAUGCAUUCAUGCAAGCAAACCAAAAAGAAAUGAUUGAUUUCUUAACUAAACAGAAAGUACUAGAUCUUGGAGCCAAAAAGAGAUAGAACCAGACUACAACAUGCAUCCAAAUAAGACUUUCGGCAAGCUGAUGUUGAUUUUCCAGCAAGCAUCGAACACGAUUCAAGUGUUUUUGAGACUCCAAUAUGCAAACUCAACACCACUCAUCCACUUCCCCUUUUCACACAAGAUUAACUAGCAAAUUAGGAUGGCCAAAGCUUGGUGAGUGGUCGCAGAGAACAAAACAGCAAAGAAGAUGCAACAGCCUUUGCUCUGCUGCAAAUUUUGCAGCUUCAUACUCGCAUGGAUGAAAAGCCGAAAAACAUUGUACAAAAACUCAUCCUUCAUCAAACUAACACACACACAAACUUCAAACAUAAAUCUUCACAUAGCUUAAGCAUGGAUGCCUACCCUCAUCUAUCCCAACUGAUAGGAACCAAGCCAAAAAAAAAAAUGAGAAAGACACGAAAUGCAGCAUGGUCGAAACUUUGACAAAAAUCAAAUCAUCCAAAGCCCCUUUUCGAUAGUAUCAGAACUGGCUCUCUUCCUCCCAUGAGACCCAUGAAUAUCACAACAUAAAGGCCAUGUAAAUAUUAUUCUACAAACACUGAAUACCAGUCAAGCUCUCUACUUUUAAGGGCGAGGGAAACAGAUUUUGGGAUAAAAAAAAAUGGUAAAAACAAACGAGAUUCACCAAACUUAUGCAAACGGGCCAGGAGGAAACAUCAAAACAAAAAUUCCCUGAAGUAUUAUGUCACUUUCUGGGUUUGUCCAUUCAAACACAUAAAAGAUCAUUCAUAAACAUUAAACGAAAACUUCACGAAAAUCAUCAUGCAAUCCCACAGAGAAAUUCCAACUGUUGUCUCUAAAAUCCAGCCAAUACUCAUGAAUUCCUUCACCCCAACGAGAUUUACAGACAAGACUCAUAAAGGGGAACGACACAAGCAUAAAGGCCAAAACUUUCGGCAUUCUAACAUAAUCCAACAACUUGUAAACAACUCCAGAGUAGAAAAACAUCACCUUUAGCCUUUGAUCAGAGCUUUAUUCAGAAGAUGAAAUCUUUGCUCAGCCGAAUCAUCUUUUCCUGGUUUUGCUACUUUCCUUCUGUCUUGCAGCCGCUUUUCCUUGUUUUCUCCCUUUUGGUUUCAGCCGAAAACUCCUUUCGAAACCUCCCCUUUCUUUUUUUUUUUGCCGCCAACCCCUAGUCCUCCCUCGUUUCUUUCUUUUGCUUCCCUUUUGCUAGGCAGCCGUCCUAUAACCUUUCUCUCGGUAGCUCUCCCUCUCUCUUUCAGUUUUUCUCUACUGUCAUAGCUUUUCUUGAAAUUUCCUAGUCCGCUCCUCAGUCAGCCUCUCUUGGUUUCUUUCUUUUUGCCGUCACUCUCUCUCGGCCUCUCCUUUCUUACCGCCGCUGCUUUCUUUUCUUUUUAUAUGGAAAACCUAUAACUCUAAACCCUCACCUCAAUGGUGAGGAUGAAAGGUUUAUUCUGCCCAAUCCCCCAGCCAUCCGAUCCAUUGAGCCAUAUUUCUCCUGAAAAAACUUCAUGCCGCUGCAUGUGCAGCUCUUGUUCCUUUUUUUUUUUGAAAAGUAAUUUAACAAAAUUGAUAAUAAAAUUAAGUAAAAAAAAAACAACAAUUUAAAUAACAUCGGACAAAAAUAAUAAACAACAAAGUUGCGAUAUUUCAUUUUUCUUUUCUUUUUCGAAAAAUUCUAUGCUAAAAAAAAAACUUGAAAAAAAUAAUAAAAACUAAAACUAAACAAAAAAUGAAUAAAACUCACACGACAAAUAAAACUAAAAAAAAUAAAAAGUAAAUGAAAUUAUACUAAAAUUUUGGUGUCUACAUCUGUUGUUCCCAAUCACAACUACUUUUCUGCUUAUUAUAAUAGUGGGGAUCCGAACGUUCCCAAUGCAUACAUAUAUGUAGUUAACGUAUGCUCGUUUUAAUGACAUAUUAUUUUGUAUUAUCCGAAUGUCCACCAUUUGACUAAUCAGGAUCCUCUUGCUACUACCCCUACAGAAUGGAUGCAUCCCAAAUUUUCUAUUUUUUUCAAACAUAACUCUGUCAGAGAUAUCUUAAUGGUCUGAUAUAUCAUUUUUGUUAUAAUAUGUAGUCCAAUUUAGCUUUUAAUUGAACAAUAUAGGCACUGCUAAUGAUUUAUUUACAGUUGAUAUUUAUAUUAUAUAAUGAAGCAAGAGCGUGCGGCAAUUUCAACACACUGUGAUAUUGAUGCAUAUCAAGUAUUUUCAUCAUCACCCCAGGUGACAAAUUUUUAUCAUUACAAUACAUGUUUAUGUAGUAUUGUUAAUUGAAAACUUGGACAUCAUAUAUCAUUAACCGUAUGUUCCAUUAACUGUAUUAGAUAAUUUUGCAACGUUGUUUCUUUCAAGAAAGAAAUAACACCCAAGGAUUACAACUAACUGUUGACGUCGCCUCCCCCCGAGAAGUAGGUUAAUGAAUGACGUGUACCUAUAAUUUUUUAACGACACAUUAAUUUGGUUGACCCAACUUGAGAAUGCUGCAUAUAUUCAGUUACUAUCUGUUAAUAAUUUGUUACAAUUUAUUCAGGAGGUUGUAUAGGCACCAUUGAUGUUUCACUCUUUUCAAAUUUAGAUAAGUGGGUUACAAUUGUAAUCGCAUCUUGUGUUAGUAAUCAUCAAUAGUAUGUAUUGGAUUGUAUAAAAUUGUUAGGAAAUUAUAAAGUCAACAGAAAAUUGAGUAACAUUUUUACAAUAGGUUUACAUUUGUUAUUAUUUUGUUAUGAUGCUAAAUUUGAAUUAUUAUUUUGAUAUUUUUAUAAAAAAAAUUAUCAUUGAGGCCAUAGGAUUUACAUUUUCUUGCCGAUUUUAUUGUAGCAUUGAUAGGAUGUAUCACAAGCACUUGAAUAGUGUACAAGUUUAGUUACAUUCCUAACUUGAUUAAUUAACAACACGAGCACCUGUAGUAUGAUAAUUUCACACAAGAAAAUCAUUUUUUUGACAACUAAUUGUAAUGUUAAAACUAAAUACAGUACAAAAUAGGUUACAACCAGUUAGAUAUAUGUUAUAAUACGUUACAACUAGUUUCCUCCCGUCUGGUGUUUCGGACCUCCUUAGGGCAUUUGUUGGAAUAAACGAUACUUGCCGUCUUUUUUGUCGAUUCUUUGAUUGUGAGCUUGUAUGAGAUCCUUCGUUUGUAGGUUGAAUGACUAUGCUAACACCUACUGCUUUUAGGUUGGAUGAAAGGAAUGAUCUAUUGCCAAAAUAGAUGGGGAUGAGAUACCAAAGAGGUGUUGAUUUAUUGGCAGAUAGUGAGAAGAAAUUUUUAACGUAGCACCUGUUUAUGACCAUGCAUAAUAAAUGGUUUGUGGUAUCAACUUUAACAACUACUUCCUGUUCAUUUCAUGCUAUUCUCCACGAGAUAGUAAUUUGAACGUGCAUUUUCUUGGAUCUCAAACUUUGAACGUUUUAACUAAGAACGUACAAAGUUGUACAUGCCUCAAAAGAAAUGCUGUUCUCCAUGGUAGCCGCUCUUUCACUUGUCACGCCCCAAACGUUUCACGGUUUAUGUACAUUUCACAUAAGGCGUAAUUUUAUGAAACAUCUUAAUAAUCACUACAAGAAAAAUAGUGACAUUCCAUACAUCUUUGGUGCCUGCAUGUAUGAGAUUAAAGAAGUGGAACAAUUCAACAGAGUAUGGAAGGUGAUGGUGAAGAAACACAAUCUUGAACAUAAUGAAUGGCUUUUAACGUUGUAUCGAAUUCGUGAUAAAUGGGCAAGGUACAUAAUGAAAAAAAAAAUGGACCACGGGAAUGCAAAGCACUCAAUUUAGCGAAAGCCUAAAUGCAGCAAUUCAAAAUUAUUUGAAACUAGAUCACGACCUGUGCAGUUCUUUAGACAUUUCAAUCGGGUGGUUGAUGAAAAGAGACAUAAUGAACUCAUCGUAAAAUAUGAAAUGAAACAAAAGCUCCCCCAUGAUAGGCUUGAGGUAAACACCUAUGCUUGUGCAUACAGCAGAGACGUAUUCACCAACCGUAUUUGUUGCAUUCCAAAAUGAAUAUGACGAGUCAACAGCUAUGGUUAUAUUGAAACAACAAGAUGCAUGGAUGUUUGUGGAGUAUACGAUCAUGAGGCAUGAUGGAGCUAUUUCAACUCACAUAACUACUUUUUCUGCACUAUAUCUAUUCUCCCUUUUAUAUACAUAUAUAAUCAAGUAACUAAUACCUAAUAUGAUGUACAUUUUUGUAAACGAAUUGUACUUCAUAGAUCAUCCCGUGUAAGGUAUUCACAGAUAAAUAAUGAUUAUCAUACAAGUAAAAUUACAUAUCUACUAUAGAAAGAUGCACAAAUUGAUCAAAUGACUAAAUAACCAUUCUAAAUUUAUGCGUACCAUUGCACUACCUUUUAUAGAUAUACACGGUUAAAUAACUAACAUCUAAAAUUAUGUACAUUCUUGUAAACUGAUUGUAACUCAUAAAUCACUUCAUGUAAGGUGCUUAUAGGCAAAUUAAUAUUAGUCAUAUAGAUAAAAUUACACACCUACUGCAGCUUGCAAGGAGAUACAUGAGUCUUGAUUCUACAUCAUUUUUUAGAUAUAUGCAUUAGACACGAAUAGAGUUUCAUAAAGUGUUUGACGAAUCAUGACGUGCAUUUAUCUUAAACUGAACCCGUGCUUUUCACACUAUCGGCUUUUCAAGACGUUCCAUUUCUUUCUUGUACUCUUUUUUCUCUUUCAAAUACUCUUCCUUUCGCUUCCUCACAUCUUCCUCACUCAACUUAUUGUAUGUUGAACAGGCAAUGUCAUUGUAUUGCAUUGAAUAAAUAAAGUCAAAAUGCACGUUAAACUAAAUCCAAAAUAAUUGCUCGUUUCACUAUUUUUUUCUUAGCCUGACCAUCAGUUGAAUGAUUAUAGUUUUUAUUUUGCUAGGCUAGCAUAUCUUUGUUAUCUUAACAUCCUUCGCCGAAACCAUGCGUUGAUACUCUUUCCUGUUAUUUGUGUUAUUUAGUAAUAUUAUUUUUUUCUCAAAUUCAAUGAUCUUAUAUGAACUUCAUCCAUGGAUUCAAUGGUGGGAUUGGUUCCACGACCUCGCUUGUUCCUGCUAUCUGCAUUUCUUCUUCUCCACUUAAACGAUCAUUUCUUUUAUUGGCUCUUUUCCUUCCCAUCCGACCCCUGCAUUAUCAACAUUCUAAUGCAUUAUAAUGAUGACAAAUCCAACCUGUUAUGACAAUACACAAGCAUUGACCACUUACCUAUUCAAUGAUUUGGGUGGUGCCUCGUGUUCUGUUUCACCAAUUGUUUCAGCUAGUUCUUCUCUCUGUGCUUCCUGACGUGAGCUUCUUGAUCGCGUUCUUGCCAUGUAAACUAAUAUUUUUUUACAAAUAAAUUGCACUUCAGUUCCAAAAUUUCAUUUUCAACCACACGCAUAAUAUAUGAUGAAGUACUGCUAAGCAUAAUAUAUGAGUUUCAAGUAUUAGUCACACUAGUUAUAGUACAACAUGUAACAUUUUUUUUCACAUUGAGUAAGUUAUUCUUCACAGUUUAUUAUUUAUUCCAACUAGCACUAAUCAACAUAAUCUGUUGUCCUACCUAUCAGGCUUUGCUUAGGAUCAACUUCUUCUUCUAUUUAUCAUGCUAUUGUACAAUAUCAAUGACAUAGCACACGGGGGCAAGCAAUUUUACAGUAUGUUAAUGUAAUUUUACAGAGCAGUUCUAUUACUGUCACUUCUGACCUACUGUGUGUAACAACAAUCAAACAUGGUGUCCAACCACAAUAAUUACUGUACUAGUAAUCUUCUUUUCUCAAUUUAUUUGCCAGGGUGCAAAGUUUCUUGUUAAUUAUGCCUAAUUUAGUCAUAUCAUAAUCUAUUCUCCUACCUAUCAAGUUCGAUGCAAUCAACUUCUCUUUCAUUUAUCACGGUAUUCAACAAUACGAAUGAAGUAACAAAUUUGUGGAACAAUUUCAAUGUAUGUUCAGCCAAUUUUACACAACACUUCUGAUACUGUCACUACUGAAUCACUGCGCGUAACAAUUAUCCAACAUGAUGUGCACCCACAAUAACUAACAAGAUUCGUAACCGUUUUCCCACACUGAUUAUGCUAAAUUUCACAAUUUGUUAUUUCUUUUGCCACACAUUGUUAAAUUAUAACCUAUUCUCUUACUUAUUCAGUUCCAUGCAGUAAACUUGUCUAUCUAAGCACUGUGCUAGUAUACAAUUCCAGUGGAGUGACAAUCACAUUCUUGCAAUUUCAUCAUUUGUUGGGGCAAUUUUACACACCAUUCUAAAGGUGUCACUAGUGAGUCAUUGCAUAAAUGAUUUGUCCAACAUGAUGUGCAAACACAAUACCUAUCAAGACUUGUAAACUUGUUUCCACAUUGAGUAUGCCAAACUGCACUGUUUGGCAUACUUUCUACCUAUCAUUGUCAAAUUAUAACCUUUUCUCCUAUUUAGCGCAUUAUAAUCUUCUCUUCUAUGGCGGCCUUAAAUGAAAUAUCUUGUAACCAUUUCACUUCACUUUGUAUGUCUCCCUCAACAGUAUGUACCAUCUUAGAAACCCAUAUCAUGUUUAAUCUCCACCCAGCCACUGUUAUAUAACAAAACCUACGCCAACUUCAUGCACAAUAACCAUAACAAUCCCCAACCCAUGCAUGCAAUUUUGCAAGCACUUGGUGUGCAAAAUUUUCAGUACCUUUCUUUCUCGGUGUUGGUAAUUAUAAUACCUAUUUUGUGCAAUCAAAGGUUUCAGUGUAUUAUCCGUUUUCCACUAUAUUAAACUAUUACUUCAACCAAAACUGCAACAAGUAUAAUCAGCCCAUUUGUUCGCAACGAUGUAUACAACAAAAGAUAACUACAAGUCAAAUCGAUCCACAAUUUAUCUGAUACCAUUGAUAUUUUCUUACCUGUGUUUCUUCUACUUUAUCUCUUCUCCGGAUCUCCCAACCUUGUACUCCACAAUUCCCGUUCACCUUUUUCAAGCCCUUUGAUAUUUGAGUACCAAUCCUAAACUCUCUCCUUCUGCCACUACUUAUUGCUUCUCUUCGCCGUGAUUUUCCUUCGCAGCCACUUUAUUUCUACUACUUCUUGCUUUCCCUUGUAUACUACUUGGCAAUUUCCAAUUCUGCAAUGUUAUUUUCCCUUUGCUUUUUUUUCUUGCUCUGUUUUGUAGAAUUUUGCAUCAAUGAAUAUGGACAAUUAUUUUGGAGGGAGUACGACUUAGCUUUUCGUUUUGAGAAUUCAUUUGGGCGGUAACGGACCAAUGCUUCAUGAAACUAUCCGUCAACUCUUUUUCUUUUUGUUUUUCCUGUUUCUCCUCAACACAGCGUCGUUCUAGCCCCUACUGAAGCCUUCAUGACAUGGUCCAUUGCAGUCCUUUCAUUUCCUUUUGUGAGAGGACUGCUCAGGGACGGUCCGUCUAAUGACUAUCCCUGCCCCAAAUCCAUCUGAUGAUCGCUCCUGCCUCGUAUCCGCAACAACCAGUCAUGACCCAAGGCAGAAAUUCUGACACUUUAUAUGAACACUUACUUUCAUCAAUCAUUGCAAUUAUCAGUUGUUGAGGUGUCACUUCCACAUUGGACAAUGAUAAAUAACUGCACCAAUAUUAGAUUUCAAAUGGAUCCAUAAUUUUAAGGUGAUAUCGAUUGUAAAUUAAACCUAAAAGGGAAAUCCAAACUUGUCCACUCAAGUCAUGGCUUAACGUACUUUUCAAGGAAAAAAUAUAUAUCGGAAGGUCAUGAUUUAAAGUACGUUUGUCCCUGAAGGAGUUUCCACCACACAUUUCUAGACAAUGAAAUUUUUAUUACAAUUUAACAUUACUUCUUAUUUAAAAAAAAUUACUUCUUAUUUAUAAAUUAGUUUACAUGGCAUAUUUAUUUCCAAUUAAAAACUACCAUGUAUCAUUUGUAACUGAAAAUUCUUUCUUAAUUGAAAAAUUGGUUAUUCUAUCUUCAUACCCCUUAGAAAAAUGCUAUGCUACAAUAAGUUAAAUUUGUCAAUUAUAUGUAUUGAAGUGGUUCCUCCAAUCAAUUCCUGUUUCAAUUUUGGCAUUCAUGCUCAGUCUAGCAAGGGUUUGAACUUGGUUUAGGACAAGCUGAAUGCAAAUAACUUUUAAAGUAUUUUCCCUUUUCCUGUCCUUUCAAUUAAAGAAGGGGAUGGUAGAAUGUGCGAUAUGGAAAUCAAAUUUUAGUUUUAGAAUGAACAAAGAAAAGAAAAUCUUAACAACUUUGCAAUGUAUAAUUCCCACUGCUUUUUGUAGACUAAAUUGAUAAUAAAGUAAAAAAAAAAAAAGAUGAAAAACUAAACGAACCAAAACACGACGAGCAAGUUGUGUACUUUUGCCAUGACUACAAUUUUGGGUCAAUGUAAAAGAAACAAAUUGAGUUAAAUCCCGAAUGAGAGAGCUUUGUGAUAAUCUAUUAUCUAUAUAUAUAAUCAUUUUACAGGGAGUGGAGUCCCUGUUACAAAGUUUGAAACUAGUGAAAGACCUCGAUCAGGUCUAUAACUUGGUACUUGAUGACCAGCACCUCUAACUGUUGCAAAUGUUAAAUUA